RNAcentral lists this long non-coding RNA (75819 nucleotides) under Populus trichocarpa (black cottonwood). RNAcentral's name for it is "long non-coding RNA (PTRI_LNC004276)". The stretch from base 22031 to 22162 matches the Rfam family "MIR480 microRNA precursor family". The record is from RNAcentral. Lineage: Eukaryota; Viridiplantae; Streptophyta; Magnoliopsida; Malpighiales; Salicaceae.
UCAGAUCAAAUCUAAUUAAUCCACAUAAUCAUGUUAUAUUAUAUAAUCAUAAUCAGGAUCAAACAAGAUUUAAUAACUUUGAUUUGAAUAGGAAAUGGCCGAUGAUUACUACUACGAAAUUGGGCCGCCCUCCCAUAGCCGAUGAUACUUUGGAAGUGAGGGGGAGAAGGCAAGAAAAUCAUAAUUACCCGUAUGACUAAUAAUCUCAUUAAUCAUUUUGUUAGCAAGAUCGAGGAGGUAAAAAAUCAUAAUUAUAUCCUCCAAGUUGGUUUUUUUUUUCAAUUUGAUGGUAAAAAAUAUUUUCAUAUAAUUAAGGGUUGAUAAAUCAGCAUAUGGAUCUGAUGAUCCUCUCAACACUGCUAAGAAUCUCAGUAUGCAAGCAACAGAACAGCAGAUGGUUGUAAGAAAGAAAUACACAGUGAAUUUUAUUCCCUUUCAAGCAAAAUGAUUAGUUAAAAUUGGAAGAAAAUGGAGCUACUCUUCCUUGACAUAUCAGUUCAUAUCACAGCAGCAAAAAGAACCCAGAAAGGAAGUAUCAGCUGCAAGUCUGUAACACACAGCAGGCUCCAGUCUUCGGCCAAUGAUACUCAGUGUCCACAUGAGCAGGAACCUUGCCUCCAUGUCGCCACAAUAAUACAGACAGUUCCCAGCUGAAGAGUCAAAGGAGAAAAGAUAAAAUAAAAUAAAUAAAUGCACAGUACUGAAGGAGAAGGCACCACACACCACACAUAAUUAAAAGAAAUCUUGCUUACACUUAAAAUAAAUAUUUUUUUAAUUCAUCAUGUGUAAUUGGACUGAAUUCCAAGAAAUUUGUUGACAAGGAUCAAAUUAGAUGCUCAGUAAAUAUGAAGGACUAAUCAAAAGACAAGCCAGAUUCUAUUAGAAUUGUUCAAUAAUAAUCAGUUGCAGCAGCAAUCAGAAAAUAUUAUAAUUAUAGUCAACAAUUUUUUAGCAAUUAGUUUCUGUUUCAAAUUAUAAAUUAUACAAAAAUAUUAUUCUUAUUUCCAAUUAAUUGUAUAUGUUUAUAUGUUUCAAACACCUGAAUUUUAUUUUCAUCAUUAAAUUUAUUUUGAUUUAAGUGGCUAAAUUUAAUUUGUUAUAAUUAAGUGGCUAAAUUUAAAUUUAAAUUUGUUAGACCAGGUAGUUGCUUAUUUAUUAAGUUUAAGAGAAUAUUUUCAAGAUAGAAUUGAAUCAUUAGAUUAUUUUUCUAUUAAAGAAUGUUAAUCAAAACAUAAUUACUGCGAGAUGUCUUUUUGAGAUACAAAAUAUCUCAUAGUAAUAUAUUUUAUCCAUUAUAUUAAUUAAAAUUAAAAUAGAGUAAAUAAAAUAUAUAUUCAUUAAAAACACAAAAUCUUGCUCUGUACAAUUUUUUUCUUAACAAAGUCACAUUAAUCUAUCUCUGUCAUCCUGGAUAAAAUUUCACAAUUACACUCCAACUCGCCCAGUCAAUUCAAUCUCCUCUUAAAAUACUUCACAACUCACCGAGUCAAAACUCGCUCUCACCACCGAGUCAAUCAUCCUCUCUCUUAAACAUGAGUCUCCUUGCUAUCUCCUCACCCCUGACCCCAGCAAUUUAAGUACAUAACUCGUCGAAGAGAAUCAUCAUUUUGCCUCACUCCUCCUUCUAAUCCACAACUCCCAAAAACUCCACCACAAUCCGAUUCAACUGAACCAGCAAGUGGCCGGAUCUCCGUGGCAUCUCCUCGGGAGAACACCCUCAUCUUACCUUGUUGCAGUGAUUUUAAGUUGGAUUUCCACCCUUGAUCAGGGUGCCUAACUGCAGCCACGGUAGCUGCCACCCAAACUCUGUUCAAAUAACUCAUUUUCCAGGCCUUUCUGAUGUAUCGGCAGAAAAAAUUACGGUGGGAGGAAUUUUAAGUUUGCUUGAGUGCUUGGAGGGAGGGCUGGGUGUGUGGCUUUAUAGAGAGAAAAGUGCUUGUGGUUUUUGUAAAACAGGAAGUGGUUUUCUUUGAUAAAGUGGUUUGGGAUAGGAAUCAUUUAGUGGUGGGCCUGAGGAUCGAGGUUUGAUGUUUUGUACAGAAGUGAAGUUUUUAUCACGAGAAAUUGUGUAUUGAUGUCCUUGAAAUUUUCAAAUGUCUAAAAACUUUUGUAUUUUUUCUAUAUAUUUUAAUGAGAUUUUAUUUUGAAUGAGUAUAAUUAUUUUUUACGAUAAUAACUACACCAUUAUAUAUAAUUUCUUAAUCAAAUAUUUGAUAUUAUGAGUGUAGUUUAAAUAAAAGCUCAAAUAGUAUAAAACUAUAAUUUUUUUCUUGCAAGAUUACCUAUCAAGAUCUAAGAAAAACUCCCCAUGGAAAAAAUAUUGUUCAUAAUAAACUUUGUAAAAAAAAUUAAUGUUGGAUAAAUGUGUUUAUAAUUUUAAAUUUAAUGUUAAUUUUUAUAUUGUUUAACUUAUGAUAAGUAAAGGAAAUGAAUGUAUUAUAUUUGAUAAUUAAUAUAUUGUUGCUUUUAUUUUUUAUUUUUUUUAAUAAAGUGGAAGGGUUCGAUAAAAUGAUAGAAAAUGAUUCGCUGAAGCGUGGAGUUAUCACGAGAAGAAAUGACGAUAAAGUGUAUUUUGUAACAGGUAAAGGGAGCAACAGGUGUCGACCUUAUCUAAAACCCACGGUUCAUCUUUAUCUGACCAAUACCAGCUCAACACUCUUAUCAAGUGGGGUCCCGCAGGAAGUUAAGAUAAUUUGUCUUUUUCUUGACUUGCUAGACCACGUGAUGAGGGGACACGUGCUGUGACGAGAAUCGGACAUGGCUCUUUGUCUGAAUGGGUAGGCAGGGAUGUCACGUGCUGGAUGAUGAAUUAUUGUAGUUGUUGGAGACUUGUAGUGAUGGUAAAAGAUAGUGUUAGCAUGGAGGGAUGCUAGGGAAGCUUCCAAAGCGAUGCCAUUUGAUUGAACAUCGUGGUGUUUAUAAGGGGACAUCAGGUGAAUAGAUUUCUCAGUGGAUGAUUAAUGGAAUUUGGAUUUUUAAAAAAAUAUUUUUUUUUCAAAUUAAUUGCUAGGCAUGAUGGAAGGAUUCAAUUGAAGAAUGUUUAAUACUAUGAAAUCUAUUAAAAAAAAAUUAGUUCAAAGGAUCCAAUUGAAAAUGAUUGGCAAAUUGAGAACUAACUGGAGUUUUUUUUAGUAUGGAUCUUUGUUGAGUGUCCUUUUUUUACAAUUAUUAUACAUUAUAGUUAUUAAAAUUAUUCGGGUUACAAGCUUGUUGGAUUAAGUUUUUAUAAUGAAAAUGAUUUUAAUUUGGAUAUUUUAAAAAAAAUCAUUAAAAUUGACUUGAUUGGAUUUAAUAUGAUCAACUGUUAAUUAUUAAAUUAUUAGAUUAUUCCGUCAACUGAAUCAAAUUUAAUAAAUAUAUUACCGAAAUUAAAAAUCAUUUUCCUUUUCCUGUAGGCAUUUCUAUUGACAUUGCUUCAUGAGUUUCAUUAUAUAUUUUCAACAAAUAGUAAUGAAAAAGAAAGGAAGAUAACUUUGGUACCGUCCAAAUAUGUCUUGCAUAGAAGCAGCUAAAGGGGAAGUAAUUUUUUUUUUUUAAUUACUAGAGGAAGAAGGUAUCGCACAAGAGCAACAGCAAGCAGAGACAAGAAGGAAUCAUAGAGGAGAUAUGGAAAAGAAAUCAAUGGUGUGGUCUCUAUCAUAGAGGAGAUAAUAAGCAUAGUCAAAGUUUGUGGGCUAACCAUGUCCUAACUGCAUGGUGGGAGGAAAUCAUUAUCAAAACCAAUGUGACAUAUUGAUUUGUCAAGUUUAAAAGCAAUAUAAAUAAUUAAAAAAUAUAUAAUUUUAUAUUAAAAAAUCAAGAUAAAGUCUAAAAAAAAAAAUAGAGAAGAUAAUAUAUUAAAUCAAUCUAAGUUAAUAUGUAAAAGUUAUUAUAUGAAUUAUUAGAUCAUGAUAACUUUAUAAAAAUUAAAUCAAAAAAACAUAUUGAAACUUGAUUCUCAAUUAACUCAAUGUUGAAGGAGUGAAAUUAAAAAAAAAAUCAAUUAAAAACAGACAAAAAAACUCGAGUCCACCCGGAUUAACUUAUCAAAUCUAGAUUAUGAGACUUGGAUAAACUAAUAUAAAGUUAAUCAAAACAAAUUAUGAAACUCAAUUCCAAAUUAAUUCAAUGUUAUGAAGAAAUUGAAAAAAAUAAUCAAUUAAAAAAAAUCCUGAGUCAACCUAUCAAAUCUUUGACUCGUAUCAUGAGAUUAAGAUAGCCUUAUAUAAAACAAACGAAAACAAAUUAUAAAGUUUAAUUCUUAUUCAACCUAAAUAUUAAAGAAUAAAAGAAACAAUUACAAAAAAUAUAGAGAUUUUAAUAAACAAUACUUUAUAAGACAAAGAAGAAUGAUUUUCACUUAUCAAUUAGUUUCUGUUAAUAAUUUAAAGGUUUAAUUAUAGAAAUUUUAAAAUAAAAACAUACUUUUUCAACCAACCCAUUGAAAUUUAUGAAUCUACAUGGUGAUAUUUCAAUUAUCAAAGAGAGGUCCACCUAGCAACUUUAAUAAUGAGUUCAUAUAAAUUCAAGGAUAGAGAUCAUGGCUGCCCUUUAGAUGGCAAUUUACGGGGACAAGGAGAAUUGAUUUCAACUUUUUAGAUUAAAGUUCCACUUAACUUUGCAACCCACCUGGGAGAGACGCUAUCCCGUUCCCAUGGAGGGUCCCUAAAUACUCCAUUGUCUUGGAACCCCAUAACUGAUAUUUUAUAAGCUACAAACUACUUAUAAUAUGAUAUUUUAUAAGUCCCUAAAAGAAUUUGAGCAUUGGCAACGCGUUUUUUAGCUUUUAAGAAAAAUUUCAUUAUGAAUAAAAAAAAUUAAAACAUUCAUUUAAUCAAAUAAAUAAAUAUAAAAAGGAAAUAUUUACAUGAAUCAAAAACCAUUUAGAUUUUUUAUGAUAAUAAUAAUAAUAUUAAUAAUUCAUUCAUUCAUAAUCAUUUCUCCCUCGAUAGUGCUAAAGCUUUAUAUUGACAUCUACGUUUGGUGGCCAUAGCUAUCAAUCUAUCUAAACAAGAUCUUUCCCCAUUUCAAGUUCUUUAGAAGAUAAGAUCUUCCCCUUUAUUCUCAACACGAUUUUGCUUAUCAAACUAUGUUUCAUGUAAUUUCUUCUUUAAUUUAUUUGUUCGUGCUAGAAGAGGGCACCUUGGAUGUUAUUAAAGUAUUUAAGGGCAUUCAAAAACACAAAGAUGCAAGGCAUGAGGAGGAUUAGCACGAUAAAAGUGACUUCUUUUUUCCAGGAAGUGUCCAAAGCACAACACAUUCCAGGUUCCUGAUCACUGUCAUUAGCAGGAUAAUUUAAUUGCAGUGGACAAAACACAAAGCAAGAACCAAAUCCAGAUCUCAAUCUAAAUUCCACUAGUUCAUUACCUUAUCAGCAAAAGAAAAGGGUAUAUAUCUCCCUUUCUCAGGCAAAAUCUCCAACUAAGCUGCCAAAUUUGCCUCUAUCAGGCUGUCAAUCCAAUAAAUAAUACUAAUGAAGGACAGCUGCUCAAAGGUUGCUUUCAUGUGCAAAACAACAGCAGCAGCAAAGUUGAGCAUGUAUCCAUUGUCACUUCCAUGGACCAUCCAAAUAAUAAUGCAAUGUUAUGAUGCUUUACGUGACAGCAUUAUAAAUAAUUUACACGUGUACUAAUGAUUAUAAAAAUGAUUAUAAAGCUCAAAUAUCCUAAGAAACAAAAAGUAAACAAGUAGGGUAAGUGACGGAUACUGAGAAGAUAUAAUCUUGUUUUGGUUGAGAGAUAGAUACAGAAGCUUAAAAUAAAGGAAACCUCAGCUCAAGAAAAAACAAGUGCUUGCAAGGAAACAGGAUCUUCACACAGAAUCAACUUCAACCUGCUGGCGUGCCAGGUAUCUUUCCCUCCGCUCUUUCUGAAAUGCAUAUCAGAGAAGCAAAGUCAGGAAAAUUUAUAGGCCACAAUGUUAUAAAGGAGAAAUAAAUGGCACACCAAAUGUUCAAGACCUCACCCACUCAUCUAUAACAAGUCCUUCGCCAACAACUCUGGGGCCUGCAUCUUCUGGAGGCUUCUUGCGUGCUUCGAGCUCAGCUUCAGCCUCAGCCAGUUGUCUUUUAAGCUUUUCCAGUGCCUUGAAGGAAACAAAACAGAAUUUCCUCGAAGAUUCAGAAGGCUUGUUUUUGGUCUUUAUAUUUUCCUUUUAAAUUCAGGCAGAGAACAUAUUAGAGAUGUAUCUGUUUUACUUACAGGACUAGGGCAUUCUGGAUCAAGAAAAACAACUCGUAAAAUUUGCUCAACUGCUACUUGAUCCUUCUGCUCAUCAAACUGCAUAAAAAUGUAUAAACAUAGCUUGUUCAGCAUUUUUAUAGAUCAAUGCCAUUGUUUUGUAAUAGAACACAACAUCAGAAGCAUUCUUCCUGGCAUACAGACCAAAAAUAAGCUUACACAUUGAGACAACAAAAUUAGAUCUUCAGCCCUACAUGUUUCAUAAAACUAGCGUAUGCCAAUCAUAGAGAGAGCUCACAAUUCUGAUAGAUGAUUCAGAUGAAGGAAAACUGAAGCAAAAUGAAAAUGCAGUCAAGAAAUCCUGAAAUUCAUUUAUUGACAAGCAUUUCAACUAGUGUUGAAGAUUCACAAAUCACAGAGUUGGAAGUCGGAACAAAGAAGGCUAGCCUAUCAAAAGUACAUAUUGAACGACUGAUGCAUCCACUUCUUAUUUUCUACCUACAAUGCUGUUUUUUUGCCAGAGUUCUCUUUUAAGAAAUUCUUACAACUAAUCUAUCACCCUUAGUAAUGAUGCUUAUGACCAUGUUGAAAACCAAUAGUUUUAUCAACAAAACAAAGGAAGAUGUUCAUCAAAUCAUGUUGACAGGAGCUUAAUGUAGAAUCAAUAAUAAAAAUCAGAUGAAAGGUGCAGACAAUAUACCAUCUCAGGAACAUAUUCCAUUUCUCCUUUCACUUUCAAGCUCAUGAUCUUGAACUUUACCCUGCUCUUCUGAUCCAGUAGUCUCUCAUUGUUCUCUGGAGGCUCCACAAACUUGAAUACUGUUGGCAAGUAAUGAUUCAGAAUGAUAAUUCCCUAAAAUCAAAAUGUAUACAGCGCACAUGGUCCCUGAUCAUUUAAUUGGGCACAAUGAACAAGAUAGGUGGUGGAGGAGCAUUGAUUACCAGUUGCAAUAAGACUUUCACCAGGUGCAAGUAUAGCCCCGGGAGGACGCAUGUAACAGCUCUUUGGUGCAGUUGUUUGGAACUACAACAGCCAUCAUAUCACCAAUAAUUCCCAAAAAAAUGAUAAACAUAAAAAGCAUUGAUAAAAAAAAAAAGUUGACAGAUUAGUCAUACCUUGAAAGCUACAUGAGACUUGCUAGUGUUUUUUAUGCCAAUGGCACUCCUAACCUGUUUUCCUGGUUCAUCUUCAAUACAAUAAGAUUGAAACAAAUUAAGUACCAAGCAAACACAAAUCCAGUUCGUUGCAAAAUUUACAGUAAUGGAAACACACAUAAAGUAACCCCAGAAAUAGCAAGAUCAAUCAAGAAAAACUAGUCCAUCUGUAUAAUGAUAGCUUCAAAUGUGAAAGCCAAUAAUAAUAAUAAAUAAAUAAAAGAUUUCUCAGCUCCAAGUACAUUAAUCAAGAAAAGUUGGAUGAUUAGCUUUUUGAUAUACAAUGAGCAAACCCAAUAAGGUUUCUUAAACUUGUUUGAUUUUGACCACUAAAGAACAAUCAAUCUGUUUUCAUAAGGACUAGACAUUAUCAUCCUCAAAAAGUUCAUUUCCCUUCAAUAAAUUAACCCCCCCUCCUCAGAUCAUCACAAACAACAAAUGAAUCUAUUAAUCACAGUUCAUAUCAAGUAAAACAUGCAGACGACAAUCUAAGCUGUGUAAUCUAUAACAUCGACAAGUCAGAAUAUCUUUGCUUGAAAUAAAAACAAAGAAACCCAGAUCACACAAACUAAAGAAAAAAAAGUAAAAAAGAGUCCAAGUUGUGCAUACAGAACAAAAACCAAAAGAAUAUAGACAACAAAAAGAACCCGAAACCUUAGUACUUACAAGGGAAGAAGAGCUUGUUAGGAGGAUCAAGCCUGAGUCUUCUUCUAGUAGGCAACAAAGACUUGGUAACAAAAGACAUUGCAUUUGUUGAAUAAUAAAGACUUGAUCUUGCCUCUCCAAGCUGGUUACUUUGGUUCUGCUGACAACCAUUGUUGCCAUUACUGUUAUUACUGCUCAUGGAACUUGAAGAUGUUGAAGAAGAAGAAGUGGUGGUGUUAGUUGAAGAAGAAGUGGCAUUGCCAUUGCCAGUGCCAGUGCCAGUGCUUGUUUGCCAAAAAGGCAUUUUGCAAAGACUAAACUUUCAUUUCACUCUCUGCUUAAAAGAUGGAAAAUUUGAGUAGUUAUUUUUUUGGGGGGGUUUUGUACUUUAGUUAUAUUUUCUAUUUUUACUAUAAUAAUAAUAAUAAUAAUAAUAAUAAUAAUAAUGGAUUGUUAGUUGUCACAAUCAUUAAACUUGAUCUCGCAGGUCUACUUGGAGUGUGUUUAGCUUAUGUUUGGAAUUUUGUUUCGGUGUAUCUGAUUUAAAAACAUAUUAAAUUAAUAUUUUUAGAAAGUUUUAAUGUAUUAAUAUUAAAAAUAAAAAAAUAUUUUAAUAUAUUUUUAAAUAAAAAAUACUCUUAAAAAACAUUUUAUACCACAAUAUUAUACACACACUUAGACUCGAUCAACCUGUCAUAAGGUAUAAUUUGGUUUGAUUAAGUUAGCAGAUCAAAACUUAAUUAAAUUUAUCUGGGGAUAGAUUUAGUAAUUAUUUUUUAAAAUAAUUUUUAUUUGAAAAUAUAUUAAAAUAAAUCAACAUAUCAAAAUAAUUUAAAAAUAAAAAUCAAAGUAAAAAGUUUUUUAAGAGUUUUUAUAACAGUAUUUUUAAUGCAAUAACAAACACGUUCUAAUCUGGUUUUUUUUUUCACAUGCUUCCAUCUUUUUGGUUUUUAGAAUCUACCCAGUCCAUAUAUCCUAUUAAUUUACAGUAUAUUUUUCAGGAAAUUUAUAUUAGACUUGGGGAAUCUUUAUAAAAAUUAUUUUAGAAUCAAACUCUAAAAAUACAUUGAGUGAAAUUAUAUAUAACGAUGCACACCAAAGAAAAUUUUAUUGUCUCAAUGAAAAAUUAAAAAAUUUACUUUUGCUUGAAAUGAGCCUUGGAUGUCACUUUUGCUUUCAAAUGGAGACUCUCUUUAAUUUUAUUACUUUAAGAAAUAUAACUCGUUUAGCAUUACAGUCUAAUUGUUUUUUUAAAAAAAAAUUAUUAUUUUUUAGUUUCAAAUUAUUAUUUUUAUAUACAAGUAUCAAAAAUUAAUUUUAAAAAAUAAAAAUAACUAUUUUAAUACAUUUCUAUAAAAAAUUAUUUUAAAAAACAACAUAACACUUACUUUUUAUUUAUAUAUAUGCUUUAUCUUAAAAAGAAUGGAUAAUAGACUUUAGACCCGAAGAAAGCAUCUAAAACAUCAUGAUUUGCUAUGAUGUUGGAAACAUGAUCUUGUGGAAACGUUAAAAUAACAACACGGGAACACACACACUGAUGCUCCCAUGUGGCCCUCUUGCAAGAAAAGCAUCUCUCUUCCAUGAUUUCAUUUCGGUGAUUCAUUCAAAAUAUUUUGCGGGCAAUGAUUUAACCCAACCAGACGCAUAUGGCACUAGAUGGCCUGCUGGGUUCUAGUCACACAACCUUUGUAGAAAGUGACUUUACUCUUACAAAUCUUUUGACAUGGUCAAUGAAGGAUGGAUUCCCUUGGAUCUUGCCAUUGGACUAAUCAUCAUAGUUAAAGAUGUGAUAGGAUAACAAUCAACAAGGAAGCAAUGGCGAGUGGAAAAGGAAAUUUAAGAUAAGGAUUAGGGUCAUGAUCACUUGUAGGUGAGAGGCGAUCCCUAAGAACACCAAAGAUGCUGUUCUUAGGGAUUCUUCAGAUUGAUUUAGCCUUUUCUCUUUACUUCUAUAUAUUUUUGAAGCUGUAGUUGCUUGUGGAGGUGGUGAUCCUGCUGCUGCUGCACUUCCCACUUGAGUAGGCUUUGAGGAGGAUCCCGUGUUGUUAAUGACAUGUUGAUGGUGCAAGGAUUUCAUGGCAGGAUUUAGCCUUCACUUAUUUUUAUCUCUCAACUCCUCCACAGCUGCCCAAACCUUGCUCUUCCACCUCAUUGUACUAAAAGAAAAUGGACCAGUUAAGAAUCAUGCAAGACUCAAUACAGCUGAAAUUCCAUGCCUGUUGUUUUAGCGAAAUUGAGAGUAAUUUAUUUGUGUUACAUCUAGUGUUCCAUGCAAGAUUAGGUUAGCCAGAUCCCGAAUUGAUCCAUCAGUCGUAAUUAAAACUAGAAAAAGUUCCUUGCAAAUUAACUUUUUUUUAAAUUAUCCAGGAGCAUUUCUAGGAGAUUAGCCAAAGCAUCCUCCCGUGAUUCAUGUGGUGAUGUUUGAAUGAGAUUUAUAUUCAAAAUUUAUGUGAAAAAUUACAUUAAGUAAUUUUAUGAAUUCAAAAUUUAUGAAGCAUAAAUAAUUGUAAAAAAAACAAAUACUCUAUUUGAUGUACAAUAAUUUUAUAUUUUUGUGAAGUUUAAUUUGUACCAUAACAAUUUAAUUUUAAAUUCAAAGGAAAAAAAAACUUCAUUUCAUUUUCUUUAAUUUUAAUGUUUUUUCUCCUAAGCGGAUCCUCUUUAAGAAAAUUUAAUAAUACCUUUCCUAUGUGCUAUAUAUAUUACUUUCUGAAUUCAGGGCGCCGCUAAUUUAUUUUUUAUUUUAAUUUCAGAUAUCCUAUUUAAAAUAGCUGAUCAUGACUUUCAGCACAAAAGGAUAUCAUUUUCUUCUUGGAGAAAACACAAGAGGAUAUUAUUGAUAUUUAUAAUAUUAUUAAAUGUUAAUAAAAUACUAUAAGUUAUAAUUUAUCAUAUAAAAGGAAUCGUCUAUAAUUUAUUUUCAAUUUCAAAUUAAUAUAGGUUGUGAAAAAUAAAAUUUAAGUAACUUUUUUUAUCAAUACAUGAAUAGCAGUUUAUAAUCAGAUUAAAGAUUUAUAUAAUUUAAUAAACAAAAAAUGACAGAUUAAUUUACAAUUGAUGGUCCUGGAGUAGAAUCUGAUCAUGGCUGAUCAAAAUCUUUGAUGGGAACUCUACAAACAGUUUGAUCUUUGUCAUCUAUAACCACAACAACCUCAGUAGGGACCCCAACAACUUAAGUACAUGACGGUCCUUAGUGACUCCUCUGAUUGCUUUGCCUUCUGAUUUUCUCUUACUUUACUUGAAACCACGUUAGAAGUCGGAGAAGACAGCUUCUUGGCCUUAGACAUUGACCUAACUUUGUUCUUGGCAUGAUGGUGUAAUAAUCUAAUUGUGUAGUUCCAUCUGCAAAACCCUUGAUCUUUCAUUGCCUCCACAGCUGCAAUACCAAAGGCUACCAUCCAAGCUUUGCUUGUUGAACUCAUUUUUUUUCUAUUUUCUUCUCUGUACUAGAACAGAAGGAUGGAGGCUCUUUUAGUUCAGGAAGACGAGGUAUAAUCUAUCGAGCUUUUGUGCUUGAUGGUGAAAAUGGUAAGCAGGGGUUUGCUUAUAUAGACAGUACAGAAGGGGCCAGAAGCUUUGGGAGAAAACUAGAGCCUACAAGAUCAGGAUGUUAGCUGCUGGUUUAGGCAAAGUGGAAGCCAAAGAGAUGUUUUCUUGUGUUUUUUAUUAGUGGGGUCGUGUUAGGAUAAGAUUUUCAUUAAUGUCAAAAACUACAAGUCGGAGCUAGAAAAUGGUAUCUCAAGCACACUUUUUUUUAAAUCAUGAAAAGGCUAGCGUGUGAGUUGUUGCUGAUGAGCACCACACGGUUUUCCUAUGUAAAAAUCCCAUUAUUUUCUUUGAAUAGUCGAUUACCAUGCGUUCAUUGCAUGUGUCACCAGAACCAAGGUCUCAACUCUCAACAAUGGGGGCAGAUUUUACUACAUUUAUUGUUUGAUUAUGGAACAGUUUUUUUAAAAUGUUUUUUAUUUAAAAAUAUAUUAAAAUAAUAUUUUUUUAAAAAAAAAUUAAUAUCAACAUAUUAAAACAAUUUAAAAAUAUAAAAUUUUAAUUUGAAGUAAAGAAAAAAUAAAACUUUUUAAUUUUUUAAAUACUUUUAAAACACAAAAACAAAAAGAUUUUUAUUGGUUAGAAAAUAGCAAUUUACCCUUUUAUUUUUGUUUCUAUCUAAAUUACUCCAAACUUUAUUGAUAUUGAUUUUGAAUUCAUUCUAUGGAAUUUGGUAAGUGUUAAAAGUUAAUAUUAAAUUAUUUUUAAGAGUUUGAUUAUAAAUUUAAUUUUUUAAUAUAUAUAUAUAUAUAUAUAUAUUAGAAUAUUUUUAAUUAAAUAGUGAAAAUUUAAAUCUCUCAAGAAAAUUGGUCGGAAUAAGUUUCAAGUCCAAAUUCUUUAUUUUAAAUUAAUAAUUUAUCACAAUUUUUAUUUAAGAUUUUUUAUUUUUUUUUAACUGUCUUCUUGUUAAAUUUCAUUGAUAACCCCAAACGUUUAAAUUUAAUAAUUUACUGAACUGCAACUCUAAUGGUGAAUAUUGAAAGGAAAUAAAGUUAUGAGUAGUCUGUUGAUGUGAGAUUUGCGUUGGAAAAAAAUGAGUUUAGAUGGCUUGAAAACGCAAAAAGACGUUGAUGAUCAAAAUACACAAGUUAAAUUUUGGCGAAAACCUAUCAAGUUCUCUAUGUAAUUUAUUUUUCAAAAAAAUCACAUUAUCACCAUAACAAAAAUAGAUUUUAAUAGAAUUUAUCAAAAAAGAGCCUUAUUAAAUAAAUGUUAUGAUAGAAUAUAUAUAUUCCACUGUAUGAUAUCAUGAUUUCCUCCAUCAUUGUAAACCUUUCAAAGCUCUUCCAUUAUAUAUAGGUUCAAAAUUUACAAUUUUUAUAUGAACUGGCAGCGUUAAAAACAUUUUCCCCCAUCAUUAGCAAUUUAUUCAACAACAAUCGAUUGAAAUACAAUUGCUGCUGAUGAUAAAUUAAGCUGGUCGAGAUAAUCAUAAUCGUUGAUGGGUUCCAGACCCAGAAGCAGUUGGCCUUGUGAUCUCUGUUCAGACAAGUGUCCCUUGGAGCUCUUUGGUUGCCUCUUUGUGGUCACCAAUCCAUGAAUAUAGUUCCUCUGCUAGUAGUUCAGUAAUCAACUAGUAAGGACCCCAACAACUUAAGUACAUGACUUUCCUCAGUGACUCCUCUGAUUGCUUUGCUUUCUGAUUUUCUCUUACUUUACGAGAAAUCACAGUAGAAGCUGGAGAAGAGAGCUUCUUGGUCUGAGAGAUUGACUUCACUUGGUUCUUGGCAUGAUGGUGUAGUGAUCUUAUUGUGUAGUUCCAUCUACAGAACCCUUGAUCUUUCAAGGCCUCCACAGCUGCCAUACUAGCGGCUACAGCCCAAGCUCUGCUUGCCGAACUCAUUUUUCUACUUUCUUUCUUUGUUUGUACUAGUAGAACAACAACAAAAAUGGAGAAAUUUUUAGUUGAAAAAGAUGAGAAGUAAUUGAGAAUUCGUGUUUGAUGGUUCAAAUGGUAUACUGGGAUUUGCUUAUAUAGAGUCUAAGGGGCCGUAAGCUUGAAGGAAACCAGAAACUAGGUACAGGCUGCAGCUGGUGGUUUUGGCUUGAGAAAGCCAAUGGUAUUAUUUUAAGGACCCCUCACUUGAUGGCAUAAAUCACUAAGCAGACAGUGACAAUAAAUAAAUAAAUAAAUAAAAAUUGGGAGUUUUUAAUACAUUUUAGCAUGUUCGAUCAUGACAAAGCAUGGAUGUGACUUGUACUAGGAGGAUGUUUUGCGUUGAAUUGUAGUUUUGUAGAUUUUUAAAUUUUUGAAAUUAUUAUGUUAAUAUUAAAAAUAAAUUUCAAUAAAUAUAAAGAUAUUAUUUUAAUAUAUUUUUAAAUAAAAAAUUUUAAAAACAACCUCACCACUAAUGGCCACUCAAUUUUGCUUUAUAAAAAUCCAAAUUGAGCCUAACUAUUGGAGGCAAAUCCAUGUUCAAGAGCGAGGCUAGAAGGAUAGAAUUUUAACUUCUUUCUAGGUGUCUACUCAAAACCAGAAAAAGGACACGAGGGCAUCCUCAAGAUUUUAAUAUAAAGGUAGAUGCUGUGUAUAUAGGUAUUUAACCUUACUCGGGGUGUACGCGGCUAACAAAUGAGAUUUUUAUUUUUUUCAGUCAAUUUAGGUUGAUUUAUAUUAAAUAAAAAAAAAUAAAAAAAUAGGAUAAGUAUACAUAUAAACUAUAUAAAUAUAUAAAAAAAAAAUUUCUUAACUUUUUGAUGUGGUAUGACUAUCACAUGAAAAUGUUAAAAAACAUUUCUUGUAUUUUAUGACUAUAUAUAUAGAACAUUUCAUAUAGAUGUAAAUUUUAUAUAUAAACAUUUCAUGUUUUUAUGAUUAUAUAUAUAGCUAUCACACGUAGAAAAGUUAAUGAACAUUUCAUAUAAAUAUAAACUUUAUGUAUAACUAGUUAUCGUGCAUGGAAAUAUUAAGAAACAAUUAAUGGGAUUUAGGUUAUAAAUAUAGCUCUUUCAUAUGAAAAAGUUAAAAAUAUUUUAUGAGGAUGUAAGUUAUAGAAAAAAAAUAUAUAAGACCAAGUAAUCACAAAUUAACUUUAUAUUUUUUGGGUUUUAUUUAAAAAAAAUGUAAAAAAAGAGAGCUCGGGUCUCACCCGGGUUAAGCCAGGUUACCUUAGUUUUGAGUUGAUCCGGCGGAUCACUUGGGUUUUACCAGGCUAAUUACAAGCUCGGGUUUAUAUCAUUUAAAACCCCGCUAAGGCCCUGGAUAGCCGGGUCCUAGGUCAACCUGUCAGGUCAGGUUUUAUAUCUAUGGCUAUGUCCUGAAAAUGAAAAGGAAGAAGAAAAAAGAAAAAAAAAAGAUGAAUACAUUUGAGUGCUUUAUCUAUUGGAUAUUAUCAAAUUAAGUCUUACCAUAGAAAGUUUCUUUUAAAAUUAUAACCAAGAACUUAUUUGUUUUAAGAAAUGUCAUUUUAAGCAUAAAUUUUAAUGGUGUGAAUUGAUCGGGUUAUAUUUGAUAAAGAGUUCCAAUUGAGAAAUUUUUAUCAAAUUAGUCAUUAUUAAAAUGGUGAAGGGUAAAUUAGUUUUUUAUAUAUAUUUUUUGCUCAAUAAAAUAACUAGAGAGCCCUUAAAGAAAAAAAAUUAUUGAGUUGGCGUCAAGGACUUAUAAUAUGUCUUUUUACUUUUUUAGACAUAGUAAAAUGAAUAAUAAACCCUUACAAGCAAAAAUUCUUUAACUAAUGCCAAUGAGCUUUUAUGUGUUUUUAUCCUUUUUUUUUUUUGUUAUAAUCAAUUUAAAUUAUGAUAGAUUUGAUCUUUUAAAAUAUAUAAACAUUUUUAAAAAAAUUGGUGAUGCAUGCAUUACACGCGUCAACGCAUAGAUCGUUCUCGUGUUGUGUUGGGUUAUGCAUGCUGCAGUGUUUGGCGGUUAAAUGGUGACUUCUAAGGGUAGCAGUCAAAUCAUCUCUACAGCCCCUCCAUCCCUGGGCAGUGCAUGUAACCAAUGAACUUUUGAUUUGACGCCAAUGAUCCUUUUUUUUCUUUCUCUCCUCCUCGAUUUCACAUUGACCCUUUAAGUUUUCAAAUCAACUCCUUAAUUUAUUUUUCUUUCAUAUUUAGUUCGUGUUCUUUUGAUUACUAUUUAUUUUAUUUAAAAUAAUUUAUAUAAUUGAAAUUUGUUUUUCAAUUGCAUUCUCUUUUAAUUUUUUUCAUAGGUUAGAUUUGGUCUUAUUAUUUAGAUUGCUAUUUGUUUUAUUUAAAAUGAUCUGUAAAAUUGAUUUUUUUUACUAUUUUAUCCCCAUGUUAUUUUUUCAUGUUAGAUUUGAUCCUUAUUUUUUAUUGCUAUUUUUUCUACUUUGACAAAUUUUCUAAAUUGAUAUUUUUUUUAUUUCAUCUUUCAACAUUAAAUUGGUUGGAAAUUAAGUUUCUAUAUUGACCUUGAGUUUAGGAUUUUAUAGGUUGCGAACUUGGCGGAUUAACCUAAAUUUAAGAGAUUCGCACAUGUUUGCUUUUAUUAAACUCAUUUUUCUUAUUUGCUUUCUAUAGAAAUUUUCAUUAGUUUUAAAAAUAAUUCAGGUUAUCUCGAGUCUCUUUAUUUGUUAUUUGUUUUGUUAGAUUUAGAUUUUAUUGAGAGAAAUUAUGUUUUUUUAUUAAAUUAAAUAAAUUGAUUAAAUAUAAGUAUGGAAUGCUUACUUCAUGGUUUUUCAUUGAUUUUCUUUCUAAGUUAUUGCUCUUAUUGCACGUGCAGCCUCUUUCAUUGUCGUCAUCAACCUUUCACGGUGGCAUUAGAACUGUCUCGGUAAGCUUUUUUUGGUGGUAAGAUGAUGUUCAUGGAAGAGCAACGGUGAGUCUAUCAGGCUAUUCUUUUUUUUUUAUUAUUCCAAGUAUUAUAUUGACAACUUAUUUUUUUAUAACUAGCUAAUUAUUUUUAUUUUUUGUUUUAUUUUUUGUUGAUAUUUUUUAAAAUUAUAUUAUUAAAUUAACCGAGUUUUUUAACCCAAUCAAAUUAAUGACUCGAGUCUCAGUUUUUUUUUAAUUUAUUUAUUAUUAUUAUAUUUUUUAUUCAUAUUAUUUAAAUUAAUCAAACUUAUUAGAUAGAAUAAAAACAAUACAAUGAACCUAAUCUCAAUUUUAUUUUUUAAUAUUUAUAACACUUGCAUUAUCUUAUUGAAAAAAAUAUUAAGGCGGCACGGGCCGCCCGUUUAUGUCCUGAACAUUAUCUAUCUUUCAAAAAGCAUUUGAAAUUGAAGAUUAAAAAACUCAAAACUUUAAAUUAAUCUUUAAUUUGUUAAAGUUCGACUUGAAUGAUGAUUGGAGAUGAAGUCAUGUUUGGGAUAUUGCGGGCACGAUCGAAUACGCAAAUUAACGGCAGCUAUACUAAGUUUUGGUGAAAUCUUUAUCAAGUUUUUUAUGCAAAUUAUUUUCCAAAAAUCAUUUUAUUUUUCAAUAAACAAACAGAACAUAAACACAGUCUGAAAUGCCGCCGCCUCCAAUUGACGAAUUGAAAAGCUAGUCCCAUCUACCCUUUUUUUUUUUAAAAAAAAAAAACACCUUGAUUGAUAAAAUUGUUAGAUAUAUGUAUCAGAAUUGCAUAAACUACUAAUUAAUCGAGUUUUAUCAUGAAACUAUAUUGUAUAAAGGUUGGAUUGGUUACUAAAUUUCUCCUUUUUUUUCAUAUAUAUGAACGAGAAAGAGUUGACUAGAUAAUUAUACUGCACUCUAUAAUAUUACUUUGAUCAUAGUAAGGCUCUUACAUUACAGGUUGAUUAUGUACAAAAUUCAGCAAAAAAAGUACAAUUUACAUCAACAUGCAGAAAUUAAGAAAAUUUUCUCCCAUCAUCUAGCAAUUCAUUAAACUACAAUAUUCCAUUUAAAAACAAUUGCUAGAGCAGAAUCUGAUUGUUGAUAAGCAGUCGACCUUGCCUUCGAAACUCUUUGAUUGCCUCUUUGCUGUCACCAUUCCAUGACCAUAGUUCCUCUGCUAGCUAGUAGUUUAUCAAAUAACUAGUAAGGACCCCAGCAACUCAAGUACAUGACUCUCCUCAGGGACUCCUCUGCUUGCGUUGCUUUCUGAUUUUCUUUUACUUUACUUGAAACCACAGUACUAGAAGUUGGAGAAGACAGCUUCUUGGCCUGAGAGAUUGACUUGACUUGGUUCUUGGCAUUCUGAUGGAACGAUCUUGCUGAAAUCAUCUUUCUUUACCCUUUCUUUGCACUAGAACAACAACAAAAAAGGACAAUUUUUAGUUGAGAAAGAUAAGAUGUAAUAUAAGAUUUUGUUUGAUGGUGCGACCAAGCCUAGGUUUUGCUUAUAUAGAGAGUAGAGGCCCAAAGGUUUGGAGGAAACCAAAAACUAGCACAAGUUGUCGAUGGUGGUUUCGGCUGAAGUGAGAAAGCCAAUGGUAUUAUUUAGUAGACGGGAUGAAUCUAAUACCUAGGAAGGACCAUUCUUUCUUGAACGAGGAAGGACCAUUUGGCUGCCUAAAAUACAGAGGAGGAGGAGGAAAUCGGGGAUCAUGACAAAACUAGAAUGGGACUUGUUUACGAAAGGUAAAGGCACUCGGUUUUUGUUCAUGAGAGGGGAUAGAAGGAUAAGAAUUCUUGGCAUUUGUCUGGACGUCUACUCAAAAACAGUAUAGGAUCACAUCAUGAACACAAUAAUUGUGAAUCCAUCCAUAUCAAAAACAUCUAAAUUCAAUACUUAAAUUAUUAAAUAAAAUUAAGAUAUAAUUUAUAUUAUUUUUUAAUAUAUAUAUUUAAAUGAAAGCUAUUUGAACUUAAAAUUUAUACAACUUUAUAUUAUUUUUUGCUUGAUUUUUAUGAAAUAAAUAGGGAUGAUAAGAUUUGAACUCGUGACUACUUGGUCAUCAAGGCUCUGAUACCAUGUCAAAAAACCAUUUCAACCCAAUAAUUUAAAUUCUUAAAUGAGGUCCCAGAAUAUAAUUUAUAUUAUUUUUUAACAAUCUAUAUAUCACUAAAAAGAUAAAUAAAUAAGUAAAAUUUAAGGAAAAAACAGUUCUCAAGUUUUGAUAAUUAUUAUUAAAUCUGAAUCAAGUUAAUUUUUUUUUUAAAUAGAUGAUAAUUAACUUAGUUAAACUAAAAAAUAUGAUCGAUCAAAUUAUCACCCGAUUGAAUUAGUUUCAAAGUUGACUUAAUUUAAAAAGUAAAUUAAAUAAUAUCAUUUUAAUUAAUAAAAUCAAUUCGAAUUAUAUAACUUGUUUAAUCCAAAUCUUAAAAUAAGUUAUUAGCAUAUCCAAUUUAAUAACUUUAGUUGCAAGGGGUUCAAAAAAGAAAAAAUGACUCGCGAUGCAUAAUGUUGAUAUGGAAACGACGUGGACUGUGAUCAGAAAAUAUAUUGGUUUUCUUAUUUUACGAAAGAUUAUGAAUAAUUACUCCAAAUAUUUGUUCUAACUUGUGAAUUCCUUUUACAGAGCUUUAAACUCCGGCGCUAUGCCAUGGGUUGUAGCAGAUUUUAAGGAAAAAAAAAUUAUUUAGAUAUUAGUAAUAUGUUUUUUAAAUAAAUUAAAUUCUAACUAUAAAUAAUAAUGAUAUUUUUAUUUAAUAUUGAAAUAGAAAAACAUUUAAUUUACCUAGGUUAACAUGCAUUCACCUAUGAAAUUUAUAGGGAUAAUCUUGAAAAAAAAACAAAUUGAAAAUUCAAUCAUAAAUUAACUUAAUGUUGAAAAAUAAAAUCGGUAAAAAAAUAGCAUUUAAUUAAAAAAAUUAAGUCAACUCGAAUCGGCCAGUCAAACUCACAGCGCAAAUCAUGUUAGUCAUCAGAUUCAAUAAAUUUUUUAUCCCAAAAAUUAUUUUUCAUUUAAUUAUAUAACAAUAAAGCACAUGAUAAUUUUUUUUGUAUAAAAACAUUUGUUUUAAGUAACAAAAUCAUAAUAACGCUAGGAUAACAAAAGUAGAUCAUUGAUAAUAAAUAAUAAAAUUAAAAUUAUAUUUUUUUAGGUUGGGGUUUAAAAAAAUAGAUCAUCGAUAAUAAAAAAUUAUUUUUUUAAAAGCUAAAAAGAAUUUAAAAAAAUAAAUAAAUAAUAACAUUGUUAAACUUGUAACCUACAUUCUAAACUUAAUUAAAUUUAAUAAUUUUUUUAAUCAAAAUAUAAAAUAACAAAAAAACAAAAAAUUUAAAAGAAGCUCAAACACGCAAGUCUUCCAGCCCAGUUCUUAAAAGUUUAUUUUUAAACAAAGACAACGAACUACAUUUGUUUUUUUCAGAAUCCGUCAAUCAAAUGUCACUGAAAAUGAAAAUAGAACCUAUUAAAACUAAUUUACACUCUCUAUUGAGAAUCCAAGAAUCCUCUCUCCUUUGAUAUUUAUAAAAAAAAAACUAAAAAAAACUAAAUUUUAAUAUCAAAAUUAAAUUUAGAACCAACAAUCUAUAAAACAAAAAAAUAUAAAAGACCCAGAUAAACUUUUUAUAUAAAAUUCAAAAUCAUUAUUUAUUUUACCUUUUCUUUUUCCUUUUAAUCCAAUCAUCUCUUUCGAAAAAGUAAACAGUGCAUCUUCAACAUUGAAAACCCCACGCGGUUUCAUUUUUGUUAAUUAAUUACAUCAUGUUACUCAAGACUUGACUGCAGCCUAACCCCAAUAUAUAAACUUAUAGUAGAAAGUGUCGUGUUAGGUUCAUCCACUCUGCCACAGUCCAAGUUUCAUGAAGGAACACAAGUUUUGACGUUGCAGUAAUUAAUCCCCAUGGGCUAAAAGGAGAGAACAAGACUUUAAUCCACUCAUGUAAUUAGCUUAUUGAUUCAAUUGAGUCUUCAUUUUAAAUGCCGUUUCAUUCUGAAAAAUUACAAUUUACAUCACUUGCAAAUUGUUGCAGCAAUGGAAGGAAUUUGCUCCCAUCAUUCAGCAAUUCAUUGGACUACAAUUGGUUGAAACAUAUAUUGCUAGAGCAUAACAUUCAAAUGAAGCUGAAUAAUCGUUGAUGGGUUCCAGCGUCCACCGCCAUAAGAAGUCGGCCUUGUCAUGUUUCUCCAAAUGAGUCUCUCUUGGAAAGACUUCGAUUGUCUCUAUGCUGCAACCAGUCCAUGCAUGGCCAUAGUUACUUGCUGGUAGUUUACUGCCUAGCUAGUAAGGACCCCAGCAACUUAAGUACAUGACCUGCCUCAGUGACUCCUCGGAUUGCCUUGCUUUCUGAUUUUCUCUUACUUUACUUGCAACCACAGUAGAAACUGGAGAAGAGAGCUUCUUGGGCAGAGAGGAUGACCUGCCUUGGUUCUUGGCAUGUUGGUAUAGUGAUCUUAUUGUGUAGUUCCAUCUGCAAAAUCCUUGAUCUUUCAAAGCCUCCACAGCUGCAAUACUAGUGGCAACAGCCCAAGCUUUGCUUGUUGAACUCAUUUUUCUAUUUCUUUUGAUUGAACUGAACAGCUAGAAGAUGGACAACGUUUUGAAAAAGUUGAGAUGUAAUUGAGAAGGGAAAUUAUGUUUGAUGGUGUAGAUGACAAGCUGGGAUUGCUUAUAUAGAGAGGAGGGGACUAGGGGACCAGAAAAUUGGAGGAAACCGGAAGCCAGGGAUAAGCUGUGGCUGGUGGUUUUGGCAUAAGUUAAAGCCAAUGGUAUUAUUUUAGUGCAGUUAGGCUAGGAUGGGACUGAAUCUUUAUGUCUAUCAAGGACCACUUGGUGCCAUUAAAUACAAAUGGAGAAAAAAUGGGGGAUUUCUUUUUCAUGCAUCUUAUCAUAUUCAAUGACGACAAAGCUGGAGUGGGGACUCGUUUUGGUAAGAGGCACGCGGUUUGCUUUAUAAAAAUCAAAAUUGAGCCUCAAGUAUUGGAGGCAAAUCCACUUGUUUUUCUUUAAUAGUGGGGCUGGAAGGAUAGCAUUUUAGCAUUUGUCCAGGCAUCUACUCAAAAACAGGGAACGGACAGGAUUACCUCCUGAAGACAAUAAUAAGUGUAGAUCCAUUGCAUGUAUCACAAGAUACGAUUUUUUUUCCAAAAUAACAAUCGUGGCAAAAAAAUUAAUUGUUAUGUAUCACAGUUGAGAACAAAAAAAAUUAAAGAACCAGCACAUUAUAACUAGCCGUGUUACGGGAAAAAAAAAAAAGAUAUAUUGGAAAUGAGCUAAUAAAAACAAAACAAUUGACAAAUUAACAGAGAAACAAAAUUUUUAAUGAAAUUGUAUAUUUUCACUUUAUUGCGUUUUAAAAUACAAUAUUUAUUAAAUAUUAUUAUUUUUAAAAGAGAAAAUAAUUAUCACGUUUUAAAAUAAUAACAUUUAAUAAAUAUCAUGCUUCUGAAGCACGACAAGGUAAAAUUUCAAUUAUAUAACUCAAUUGGUUGAUCGAUUCAUAAUGAUCAGUGAAAUUGAUCGACUAAUUCUAAAAAUAACAAAAAAAAUAUUAAAACUACUAAAUUUGAGGGGCCUCAACUAGAUUUUUUAUAUCUAAAGAUUUAAUGGUUCACAUAGCAACACAGUGACUACUAUAGAGAAAACGGCCUUUUAAAACUACUAUAAAGAAUUUGAGCGUCUAAUUAGAAGUUAUGGUCCUAUUAAGAGUUAUUUUGGUCUGACAUGAUUAGACCUUCUCUUUAAGUUUAGAUUUAUCUCAUUGAUUCAUAAAUACAUCUGUUAGGUUGUUCAAGUACUAUGCUUGGGCCAAAACUCAUUCAGUUAUAGUAGACUCACAUCUGACUGCUUAGAAUCACAUAUUAUCGCAAAUCCAACUACAUCAUUGACAUUGAAAAACAUAGGACAAGCAUUUUGCAUACGAUAACAUUUUGAGAUUUUAAUUGGAGUCUAUUUUUUAGUCUACAAGUUGAAUAAAAAUAUAUAUCUUGACUCUUAAAAUAUAUUUGGAAGAAAAAAUUCAUUAAAUUAUAGUUUUUAUAUAAAACAAUCGACCAAUUCAUACAACUAAAUUUAAUUAGUCAACCACUUGAGCCAGGUGAUUGGAGAUUCACCUAGUCACUUUUAGAAACAACGAUAUUUAGUAAAUGUCACGUUUUUAAAGUAUGAUACGGUAAAAAUAUAUUAUUUCACCAAUUUUUUUUCAAAUGAUAUUAUUCCGUUAAAAUUUAUAAAAAAAAAAUACUAAUUUUAAAAAAUAACCACUAAAAACAGAUUAAUAAAUUAUGAUAUUCCUUUACAACCUUUAAAAAUAUACAUAAAAAAAAGUAAUGAUAAUAUUUACACCGUUAGGUAAAGAUCAACCUUUAAAAAAAAACCGAUUAUUUAUCCUAAUAAUUUAUUUUCUUACGAGUAGUGGACAAAUGAUUCCCUUACGUUACGAAACAUUACUCACUUCAAAAAAAGUAUUUCUUGCGAUCUAAUUCAUCUUUCAGAGAUUCAAGAAAAUGUUAAUUUUUUGGGCCAGUUCAACCAUUUUGCAACAUUCCCAAGUUUCUUGAAAUUUCAUAAGUUUUGACAUCGAAGAAAAUAAUCCCUAUUGAUCUUCAUUUAUGCAAAAAAGCAAAAGACGUAAAGAACUUCCUUUUGGCUCCAAAAAGUCCAAUAAUUAUUUCUUAAUCCAUUUUUGUCCUUGAAAAAACCAGUUUAAGUUCUAAAUCUACUGUUUCUUGAAUUGAAUUUUUAUUUUUACCAAACUAUAAUUUAGAUUCUAGUGAGAUUCCGAUUGAUGCAAAUAUCUUUGACAAAUGCCCCUCAAUUUAUUUAUUUUAGCUGUGGUGCGCACUAAAAUUAACCUUGUCAUGAUCCUUUUAACUUUGCUACAUGAGGGCCUGCGAAAAGAAAUGGGAAAACAGAAAUUAUAAAAUAAAUGGUGCAAGGAAAAAUUAAUCCAAAAAUAAUAUGGUUUGAUUCCAUUAAGUCAGCACCAAAAUUUACAAAUAUUUACAUCAACUUGCAACAUUCAGGGUAAUCCUAUCACGAUAAUUUCUCAAUUUCAUCUUGCUUCUUAGCUUUAGUAAGGACCCCAACAGCUCAAAUACAUGACUUUUCUUAGAGAUUCCUCAGACUGUUUUGCUGUCACUUCCUUGACUUUAUCCGAGAUCAUGGCAGAAGAUGAAGAAGAAAGCUUCUUGGCCUGAGAGGCUGAUCUGACAUGGUUCUUGGCAUGUUGGUGCAGGGAUCUCAAGGUGUAGUUCCACCUGCAGAACCCUUGGUCUUUCAACGCCUCAACACCUCCAACAGCUGCUGCAACCAACCAAGCUUUGCUUGCUGAACUCAUUUUCGAUGUUACUGUAAUAUAGAACCAACAAGUUGGAAACUCUUUGAAGUGGGAUUUGUAGAGAUUAAGAUAUCAGGAGCUAUGAUCUGAUGAAGUAAAUGGGAGUAAAGGGGUUUGGUUAUAUAGGUGGGUGUACCAAAAUUGGAGGAGAAAAACCAGAGGCUAAAGGCUUCUUGGUGGUGGUUUUGAGUGAGGAAACCAGCGAAGGCCAACGGUAUUUUUUAUAAGACAAGUGGUCUCUAUUUCCCCUUUAAUUAUUGGAAUACAACUUGGUCAUUAAAAAAAUAGAGAUAAAAAAAACCAAAGUUGUUAACCUUCGGAACUCCUCCUAGUAAUAAAGAUGGGACUGCUAUCAAUAAAAAAACAAGAAACAAAUAUAAAAAAAUCUCAUAAAAAAAUAUUAGGAAAUGAAAUUAAAAAAUUAUAUAUAAUAAAAAAAUCCAAAACAAAUCAAAUAACAAUAAAAAAAAUAUAGACCAAAUUUAAUAAUAAAAAAAAUUAUAAUCAAAUACUGAGAGAUGAAAUUGAAAAAAAAAUAAUUUAGUUAGUAAAAGAUUUUUUAAAAUAAAAAUAAAAAUAAAAAUCAUGUUUGAUUUGAAAAUAAAGUUAAAUCAAACGUUAGGGUUGAAAUUGAAGAAAAAACCAAUUAAAAAAAGAUAGAAAAAUAAAAUAAAAAAUCAUAGAGAAAUGAUAUUAAUUCAAAUAUAAAUUAAAAAAGAUUAAAAAAGAUUUUUUUUUCAAGAAAGGUAUCAAUUAAAAUUAAAAUUAAAAUUAAAAAGUUAAAAUAAAAUAAAAUGAUAGUUUAGAUGUCGCAAGCACAUUUAAAAUUAACAAAAAAAUAACUCAAUUUAUAUAUAUAGCCUGGUUUAUGUUUAAUAAGUCGGUUUUAUUUUAAUAAAAUAAUAAAUAAAUAAAUAAUAAUAGUAAAUGAUUUUUUUAUAAAAAAAUCAUAAUAACCUAAAAAAAUAACUUUUGCAAGCAUGAAAUUGGAAUAAAAAAGUCCGAAUCAACUUUAGAUAGUGUGAUAAAAAUGUAAGAAAUAAAAUCCAGCUCCUCUAAAUCUUCAUACUGAGAUUUCCUUGUAUCAAUUGAAUCCCCAUACAUGUCUCCAAGACUCUAUAACCAUAUAUUUUCAAAAAGUAUAAGGAGGUUUCCGGGAUUACUGGGGCCCCAAUAAGAAUCAAGGAACCCCUUUUCAGGCCUUGGAACCUCCCAGGGGAAAGGCCCUCCCCGGAAACUUAUUCAUAUUACUUACUUUUACACUUUUUUUUACUAGAUACUCUUUUAAUGAGAAAGACAAUUAAACUCUCUUCUUUUUUGCAAAAACGUUUGACAAAAAUUACCCACACUUGUAACCUCUAUACAAAACAAUUUAUUUUAUUUUAUUUUUUGUGUUUCAAGUCUACAUGAGAGGAAAAUAAUGGUGUAUAUUUUUUAGAAAAACAAAACUGUUGUGGUUAGCCCAAAUGGCAACAAAUCUUUGUCUCCUUGUUAUUGUCUGGGUUGUGGUCCAAACAAAAACACCCAUGCUAUCUGGGGCCCGACCCAAACAACUGAGCCUAGUCCCAAAAGGAAUUUCUUGUUGAUAACACACACCUUAAUGUAUUGCUAAUCACCCACACAAACUACUUUUCUCUAUGCUUUACUAACAGAUUCUUUGCUAAUACACAUUUUGAUAAAGGAUUAACACCACUUAUCUAGCCAGUAGUUACAUGUCUAUGCAAAUCAAGCGUCUCUUCUCUAUACCACUAGCUUUUUCUAGCUAAUGUUUUGCUAACAUUAGCCAACCCAACAUUGUAUGGCACUACGAUCAAUGAUGACACCUACAUUUCCACCGAAUAAUUGUUGUCAAGACAUCCCAAGAUAAGCCGAUGUGAUUCAAGUCCAGAAAUACAUUGAAUCACAGAUAAACAAGAGAGGCUUUUGAUAAUGAACAUUUUACUCCUCUACAAUUCGUUCUUCUUACAUUGUUCUCAUUUUCUCUUUUAUACUUCCUAACUUGAACAUUAAAAGUCUCUGGUUCCAUGCUGACCUUAUUUUGUAAGGCUAAUCCCAUAUUUAGACCUCCACAUAUCUUCAUCUAUAAUCGUUGUCUAUAAAAACCCAAUUUCUGUGUGAAUCUUUUUCACAAAUUCAUCAGUUAAUUAUUCACAAAUUCUUCGGUUAAUUAUUUAUACAAUCCUGUUGUAAUUUAAAGGCUUGUUUCAUUCACAUACAGUGAUCAUCACCCUGCCGUGAACACUUGUGAGUGAACAAAUAUACUCUCCUAAACUAAUUUUCUUCUGGGCUGGGCCAAAUUGAAAUUGAGAAUUCCAGUUCAAGAUUUGCACUAAUUUGUCAACUUAUCAAGAUAUUUAGCUUUUGUGAUGCAACCCCUCCUCCAAUUGAGUUGCUGAUUUUUUUUUUUUUAACAGGAGCCAUAUCCUUGUUAAUGUUACGUUAAGGCCAUUUUCCCAAAAUUUUGCCAAUAAAAUGAGAUAUAUUUGAUUGGCAAUCAGCACAAGCAUUUACAGUUUAAAUCAACUUGCAAAAAUUUACUCUAAUCCUAUGAACUCAUUUCCUCAGAGUUUCUUUUUUCUUGAGAGUAUCAGUUUGGACCCCAGCAACUCAAAUACAUGACUUUUCUUAGAGACUCCUCUGACUGUUUCGCCUUCUCUUCCUUGAAUUUACUUGAAAUAAUGGCAGAAGAUGAAUGAGGGAGCUUCUUAUUAGCCUGAGAAAUUGACCCGACAUGGUUCUUGGCAUGUUGGUGUAGCGAUCUCAAUGUGUAGUUCCACCUACAGAAGCCUUGGUCUUUCAAGGCCUCAACACCUCCAAUAGCAGCAGCUACCAACCAAGCUUUACUUGCUGAACUCAUUUCUCUGUAAUAUAAAACAGAACAAUAGUUGGAAACUCUUUGAUGUGGGAUUUUUAGUUGAAAAAGAAGAGAUGUGAUUGAGAAUUCGUGUCGAUGGUGUAAAUGGCAAACUGGGAUUUGCUUAUAAAGAGAGUAGGUAGGGAACUAGGUGCCAGAAAUUGGGAGGAAACCGGAAGCUAGGAACAAGCUGUGGCUGGUGGUUUUGGCUUAGGGGAGCCAGUGGUAUUAUUUUAGUGUGGUUAUGCUAUGAUGGGACUGAAUCUUUAUGUCCCUCAAGGACCACUUGGUGGCAUUAAAUACAUUUCUUUUUCAUGCAUCUAUCUUAUCAUGUUGCUAGAGCGGGGCCUUGUUUUGGUAAGAGGCACACGGUUUGCUUUAUAAAAAUCCGAAGUGAGCCUCAAGUAUAGGAGGCAAAUCCACUUGUUUUUAUUCAGGAGUGGGGCUCGAGUAAAGGACAGACAAUAAUUGUAGAUCCAUUGCAUGUGUCACAAAAUACCAAGUUCUCAACUCUCAAGCUCUCCUUAUCCAGACAUGUCAUCCAGCAAAAUUUUGAUGCAUAAACGACUUGAGCAGAGAUCAAAUGGAUUCUCUUAUGUUACGAAACAUUAUUCACUUAAAAAAAAUUAUUUCUUACGAGCUAAUUCAUUUUUCAGAUAUUCAAGAAAAUACUAAUUUUUUCUGUCAAGUUCAACCAUUUUGCAACAUUCGAAGUUUCUUGAAUGAUCAAAAGUUCUGACAUUGAAGUAAAUAAGCCCUGUUGAUCUUCAUUUAACAGAUAAUAUAUAUAUAUAUAUAUAUAUAUAUAUAUAUAUAACUUCCAUUUGGCUCCAAAAACGGGGUAAGGUUUUAAUCCAAUAAUUAUUUCUUAAUCCAUUUAUGUCAUUAAAAAACCAAUCAAAGUUACAGGCCUAGCUUUUUAUUAAUAGAUUUUCUUAACGAAAUUAGAAUUUAGAUUCUAUCUUGAGAUUGCAAUAGAUUCAAGUAUCCUUAGCAAAUGCUGUGAUGCACUAAACUUGAACCUUGUCAUGAUCCUUUUUCACUUGUGACACGAGGUGCUCCCAAGAGAAGGGGGAAAACAGAAAAAAUAAAUGGUGCAAGGAAAAAUUAAUCCAAAAAUAAUAUAGUUUGAUUCCAUUAAGUCAGCACCAAAAUUUACAAAUAUUUACAUCAACUUGCAACAAUCAGGGGUAAUCCUAUCACAAUAAUUUUCUCAAUUUCAUCUUGCUUAUCAGCUUUAGUAAGGACCCCAACAGCUCAAAUACAUGACUUUUCUUAGANNNNNNNNNNNNNNNNNNNNNNNNNNNNNNNNNNNNNNNNNNNNNNNNNNNNNNNNNNNNNNNNNNNNNNNNNNNNNNNNNNNNNNNNNNNNNNNNNNNNNNNNNNNNNNNNNNNNNNNNNNNNNNNNNNNNNNNNNNNNNNNNNNNNNNNNNNNNNNNNNNNNNNNNNNNNNNNNNNNNNNNNNNNNNNNNNNNNNNNNNNNNNNNNNNNNNNNNNNNNNNNNNNNNNNNNNNNNNNNNNNNNNNNNNNNNNNNNNNNNNNNNNNNNNNNNNNNNNNNNNNNNNNNNNNNNNNNNNNNNNNNNNNNNNNNNNNNNNNNNNNNNNNNNNNNNNNNNNNNNNNNNNNNNNNNNNNNNNNNNNNNNNNNNNNNNNNNNNNNNNNNNNNNNNNNNNNNNNNNNNNNNNNNNNNNNNNNNNNNNNNNNNNNNNNNNNNNNNNNNNNNNNNNNNNNNNNNNNNNNNNNNNNNNNNNNNNNNNNNNNNNNNNNNNNNNNNNNNNNNNNNNNNNNNNNNNNNNNNNNNNNNNNNNNNNNNNNNNNNNNNNNNNNNNNNNNNNNNNNNNNNNNNNNNNNNNNNNNNNNNNNNNNNNNNNNNNNNNNNNNNNNNNNNNNNNNNNNNNNNNNNNNNNNNNNNNNNNNNNNNNNNNNNNNNNNNNNNNNNNNNNNNNNNNNNNNNNNNNNNNNNNNNNNNNNNNNNNNNNNNNNNNNNNNNNNNNNNNNNNNNNNNNNNNNNNNNNNNNNNNNNNNNNNNNNNNNNNNNNNNNNNNNNNNNNNNNNNNNNNNNNNNNNNNNNNNNNNNNNNNNNNNNNNNNNNNNNNNNNNNNNNNNNNNNNNNNNNNNNNNNNNNNNNNNNNNNNNNNNNNNNNNNNNNNNNNNNNNNNNNNNNNNNNNNNNNNNNNNNNNNNNNNNNNNNNNNNNNNNNNNNNNNNNNNNNNNNNNNNNNNNNNNNNNNNNNNNNNNNNNNNNNNNNNNNNNNNNNNNNNNNNNNNNNNNNNNNNNNNNNNNNNNNNNNNNNNNNNNNNNNNNNNNNNNNNNNNNNNNNNNNNNNNNNNNNNNNNNNNNNNNNNNNNNNNNNNNNNNNNNNNNNNNNNNNNNNNNNNNNNNNNNNNNNNNNNNNNNNNNNNNNNNNNNNNNNNNNNNNNNNNNNNNNNNNNNNNNNNNNNNNNNNNNNNNNNNNNNNNNNNNNNNNNNNNNNNNNNNNNNNNNNNNNNNNNNNNNNNNNNNNNNNNNNNNNNNNNNNNNNNNNNNNNNNNNNNNNNNNNNNNNNNNNNNNNNNNNNNNNNNNNNNNNNNNNNNNNNNNNNNNNNNNNNNNNNNNNNNNNNNNNNNNNNNNNNNNNNNNNNNNNNNNNNNNNNNNNNNNNNNNNNNNNNNNNNNNNNNNNNNNNNNNNNNNNNNNNNNNNNNNNNNNNNNNNNNNNNNNNNNNACAGAGAGAGAUUCUAGUGAGCUGUAAAGAGUGAUUUAGCAAUGACAUUCAAUUGUGAAUCAGCAUCGUUCCUAGUUUCUGAAAACUGCAGCUUUGACAGGGAAAAGGACAUAAUUCUGUAAUUUAAAUAUCAAAAGAUUUCAAUCCAAUCUUACUUAUUAAUAAAUUUAUGUGAUAGUAUAAGGUCCUCUUCCAUUUUUCACACAAUGAUCACUCCUGUUGUGAUUAGUGACUGGGAAUUUUACACCAAAAUGGAUUUUCUUUUGGGUCAAAUCCAAUUUGAGAUUUUCGUUUUUCAUGUAGCCUUUUAAUCCAUUUGAGGAUGUGGGGAGAAAGAUAUUUUAGAUUCCAGUUGAAUGUCAUAUCUCAAAUUGAAAUUAAAUGAAAUUGCCUGUUUAUUCCACUAGAAAACUAGAAAAGAGCUUUGUUAAAUUUACUCACUGAGGAGAUGCACUGCGCGCUACCAAAAGAAUUGAUAAAAACAUAUGAUAAUGUUCGAUUUCAGCAAAUGAGCAUCAAAAUUUACAAUUUGCAUAAGCUUGCAAGGAUUUACUCCUAUAAACUAUAAACUAUAAACUAAGUCCCUCGAUUUCAUCUACUAGAUUCAUAGCUUCAGUUUGGACCCCAACAACUCAAGUACAUGACUUUUCUUAAAGACUCCUCCGACUGUUUUGCCUUCUCUUCCUUGACUAUAUUUGAGAUCAUUGCUGAGGAUGAAGAAGAAAGCUUCUUGGCCUGAGAGGCUGAUCUGACAUGGUUCUUGGCAUGCUGGUGCAGGGAUCUCAAGGUUUAGUUCCACCUACAGAACCCUUGGUCUUUCAAGGCCUCAACACCUCCAACAGCUGCAGCAACCAACCACGCUUUGCUUGCUGAACUCAUUUUCUCUGUUACUGUAAUAUAGAACCAACGAGUUGGAAACUCUUUGAAGUGGGAUUUGGAGAGAUUAAGAUAUCAGGAGCUAUGAUUUGAUGAAGUAAAUGGGAGUAAAGGGGUUUGAUUAUAUAGGUGAGUGUACCAAAAUUGUAGGAGAAAAACCAGAGGCUAAAGGCUUCUUCGUGGUGGUUUUGAGGGAGGAAACCAGCAAAGGCCAACGGUAUUUUUGAUGACAUGAUGCAUCAAUGAAAAAAUAAAACUUAACUAUUAAACAAUUAUGACAAAAAUGAAAAUAAAUAUAAAAAAAAAUCAAUAAAAACUUUUUUUUGAUCAACCUAAGUUAAUCCACUAACUCCAUGAUGCUGAGCACUAGAUUGUGAUAGCCCUAUGAAAAUAAAAGUGAAUAAACAAGCAUGAAAAUAAAUCUCAAAAAUUUAAAUGUUGAAGGAUGAAAUUAAAAAAAAAUUAAUUUUAAAAAAAACCUAAAAAAAUCAAAGUUAACAAAUGAUAACUUUUAAAACCCAUAACAGUAGUCAUGAGAUGAGACCGACCGCAUGGAAGGCAAACAAAAAAAACAAUGGAAUAAAAUUCUCAAUAAAAAGAUGUUUAGCAAUGGUACUAAAAAAAAUUAUAUAUAUACAUACACGAAAAAAAAUCCAAGUCAAUUUGGAUUAAUCCACUAACUCUGAGACUAUAGGUAUAGGAUUGAGAUAACCCCACAUAAAGAAAGAUGAAAAAACAAAUUAAAAAAAUUAAAUGUUAAAAGAUGAAAUUAAAAAUAAAUCAAUUUGAUAAAAGAACCUGAAAAAAUCGAAGUCAACCAGUGUUAACCUUCAAAACUGGUGACCCUAGUAAUGAAGAUGAGACUAACCCCACGAAAGACAAGAAGAAAAACAAAUAACGAGGACCAAAUUUAAUAGAAAAAUCAAUUGAAAUCAAAUGCCCAGGAAUACAAUUGAAAAAAAAUCAAUUUGUAAAAGGUUUUAAAAUAUUAAAAGAAUAAGAACUAAGUUUGAUUUGAAAAUCAAAUUAAACCAAACGAUAUUAAUGAAAUUGAAAGAAAAAUCAAUUAAAAGAAGAUAAAAUAAAUAAAAAAACAGAAAAGAGAUAUUAAUUCAAACAUAAAUUAAAAAAAUAUCAAUUAAAAUAAAAAAAGAUAACUAUAGUCUAGUGUCACAAGCGCAUUUAAAAAAAAUACAAAACACAAAUAACUUAGGUUAUAGCCCCAUUUGGAUUUAACAGUAGUGUGAUAAACAUAUAAAUUAUAUUGCAAAUAAACUCUUGCUCCUUGAAAGCUUCAUAGUAAGAUAUUCAUGUUUCAAUUGAAUCUUCAUUCAUGUCUCCAAAACUCUAUGAACAUAUAUUUUCUAAAGUAUAAGAUAUCCUUUUUCAUUAUUCUAUAACCACUUGUCUAUAAAAAAACAUCACAAAUCUUUCUUAAAGUCUUUAUGACUACCUGUCUCCAAAACAUGAUCAUUCUCUUCGAUAAGAAUUAAGAUAUCCUUUUUCAUUAUUCUAUAACCACUUGUCUAUAAAAAAACAUCACAAAUCUUUCUUAAAGUCUUUAUGACUACCUGUCUCCAAAACAUGAUCAUUCUCUUCGAUAAGAAUUAAGAAUCCUUUUUUAGUCCUUGGACUUCUCAUGUAAUGCGUCUUGAACUUGUACACUCAUUCAGAUGCCGUAUUGCGUGCUUUUACACUCUUUUUUUUUUUUUACUAAACUACCUCUAAGCAAGAUAAUUAAACUUUGUUCUUUCUGGCAAAAACUUUUAACAAAAACUAUCUACCCUUGUAAACUCUAUACAAAACAAGCAAGUUUUCUUCUUUUUUUUUAAAUUUUUUCUUUUCUUUUCAUGGCUUUCGAGCAUGUUUGUUUAAAAAACAUGAGAGGAAAAUGAUGGCAUCCAUUUUAACCAAAAACAAAAUUGUUUUUGUUGGCCCAAAUGGCAAAAAACCUUCGCCUCCUUGUUAUUGUUGGGGUCGUGAUCCAAAUUCCGAACAUCAAGCCAAUAAUCACAUGUCUAUGCAAAUCAAGUAUAUAUUUUCUAUACCAAUAGCUUUUUCUAGAUAACGUUUUGCUAACAUCAAUGAUAACACCAAAGUUUUCACCAAAUCAACUGGUUUGAAAUUCUUCACGUCCCAAGAUAUUUUUUAAGGCUAAUCCCAUAUUUAGACCCCCACACAUCUUUCUUCUAUAAUUGUUGUCUAUAAAAACCCAAUUUCUGUGUGAAUUUUUUUCACAAAUUCAUCAAUUAAUUAUUCACAAAUUCUUCGGGUUAAUUAUUUAUACAAUUCUUUUGUAAUUUAAAGGCCUCUUUCAUUUCACAUACAGUGAUCAUCACCCUGCCAUGAACACUUGUGAGUGAAAAAUAUACUAUCCUAAACUAAUUUUCUUCUGGGCCAAAUUGAAAUUGAGAAUUCCAGUUCAAGAUUUGCACUAAUUUGUCAACUUAUCAAGAUAUUUAGCUUUUGUGAUGCAACCCCUCCCCCAAUUGAGUUGCUGAUUUUUUUUUUAUUUUUUAAAACAGGAGCCAUAUCCUUUGUUAAUAUUACGUUAAGGCCAUUUUCCCAAACAAUUGCCAAUAAAAUGAGAUAUAUUUGAUUGGCAAUCAGCACAAGAAUUUACAGUUUAAAUCAACUUGCAAAAAUUUACUCUAAUCCUAUGAACUGAUUUCCUCAGAAUUUCUUUUUUCUUGAGACUAUCAGUUUGGACCCCAACAACUCAAAUACAUGACUUUUCUUAGAGACUCCUCUGACUGUUUCGCCUUCUCUUCCUUGACUUUACUUGAAAUAAUGGCAGAAGAUGAAUAAGGGAGCUUCUUAUUAGCCUGAGAAAUUGACCCGACAUGGUUCUUGGCAUGUUGGUGUAGCGAUCUCAAUGUGUAGUUCCACCUACAAAAGCCUUGGUCUUUCAAGGCCUCAACACCUCCAAUAGCAGCAGCUACCAACCAAGCUUUACUUGCUGAACUCAUUUUCUUUGUAAUAUAAAAUAGAACAAUAGUUGGAAACUCUUUGAUGUGGGAUUUUUAGUUGAAAAAGAUGAGAUGUAAUUGAGAAUUCGUGUCGAUGGUGUAAAUGGCAAACUGGGAUUUGCUUAUAAAGAGAGUAGGGGACUAGGUGCCAGAAAUUGGGAGGAAACCGGAAGCUAGGAACAAGCUGUGGCUGGUGGUUUUGGCUUAGGGGAGCCAGUGGUAUUAUUUUAGUGUGGUUAUGCUAUGAUGGGACUGAAUCUUUAUGUCCAUCAAGGACCACUUGGUGGCAUUAAAUACAUUUCUUUUUCAUGCAUCUUAUCAUGUUGCUAUAGCGGGGCCUUGUUUUGGUAAGAGGCACACGGUUUGCUUUAUAAAAAUCCGAAGUGAGCCUCAAGUAUAGGAGGCAAAUCCACUUGUUUUUCUUCAGGAGUGGGGCUCGAGUAAAGGACAGACAAUAAUUGUAGAUCCAUUGCAUGUGUCACAAAAUACCAAGUUCUCAACUCUCAAGCUCUCCUUAUCCAGACAUGUCAUCCAGCAAAAUUUUGAUGCAUAAACGACUUGAGCAGUGAGCUAAUUCAUUUUUCAGAUAUUAAAGAAAAUACUAAUUUUUUGUGUCAACUUCAACCAUUUUGCAACAUUCCAAGUUUCUUGAGAGUUCAAAAGUUCUGACAUUGAAGAAAAUAAUCCCUAUUGAUCUUUCAUUUAACAGAUAAUAUAUAUAUAUAUAUAUAUAACACUUCCAAUUGGCUCCAAAAACGGGGUAAGGUUUUAAUCCAAUAAUUAUUUCUUAAUCCAUUUAUGUCAUUAAAAAAACAGUCAAAGUUAGACCUGGAUUUCUUUUUAAUAGAUUUUCUUAACGAAAUUAGAAUUUAGAUUCUAUCUUGAGGUUGCAAUUGAUUCAAAUAUCCUUAGCAAAUGCUGUGAUGCACUAAACUUGAACCUUGUCAUGAUCCUUUCCAAAAGAAGUGGGAAAACAGAAAAAAAUAAAUGGUGCAAGGAAAAAUUAAUCAAGAAUUAAUGUAGUUUGAUUCCAUUAAGUCAGCACCAAAAUUUACAAAUAUUUACAUCUACUUGCAACAAUCAGGGUAAUCCUAUCACGAUAAUUUUCUCAAUUUCAUCUUGCUUCUUAGCUUUAGUAAGGACCCCAACAGCUCAAAUACAUGACUUUUCUUAGAGAUUCCUCAGACUGUUUUGCUUUCACUUCCUUGACUUUGUUCGAGAUCAUGGCAGAAGAUGAAGAAGAAAGCUUCUUGGCCUGAGAGGCUGAUCCGACAUGGUUCUUGGCAUGUUGGUGCAGGGAUCUCAAGGUGUAGUUCCACCUGCAGAACCCUUGGUCUUUCAAGGCCUCAACACCUCCAACAGCUGCUGCAACCAACCAAGCUUUGCUUGCUGAACUCAUUUUCUCUGUUACUGUAAUAUAGAACCAACAAGUUGGAAAACUCUUUGAAGUGGGAUUUGGAGAGACUAAGGUAUCAGGAGCUAUGAUUUGAUGAAGUAAAGGGGAGUAAAGGGGUUUGGUUAUAUAGGUGAGCGUACCAAAAUUGUAGGAGAAAAACCAGAGGCUCAAGGCUUUUUCGUGGUGGUUUUGAGCGAGGAAACCAGCGAAGGCCAACGGUAUUUUUUAUAAAACAAGUGGUCUCUAUUUCCCCUUUAAUCAUUGGAAUACAACUUAGAACAUGAAAAAAAUGGAUUUGUAGAGAUGAAAUAAGUUUCUUUUAUUAUUAUACUAGCUAGUUUGUUUCUAUUUUUUAAAAAUAUUUUUUUAAAAGUAAUAUAUAAAGUUAAAAAUAAAAUUUUUAAAAUAAUAAAAUAUUAUUUAAAUCCAUUUAUUCUAAUAUCAAACUUGUCUCUGCUCUGAGUCACACGCAUUAAACAAAUGGGGUUUGUCACUUCUCAAUCAAUGUUUUGUUUUGGGCAAGACUGUUUUUGAAGACAAUUGAAGUAAUAGUGAGGACUGUCUGUAAACAAUUGUGGUGAUCUAGAAAACUACAAUAAACUAUUUCAACAGCGCUUCGUAGAGGAUUGUAUAUUUUUUUAAUAAAAAAAAGAAUAAAUAAGUUUUUCGUCAGGUUUUUUAUAUAAAAAAUUCUCCAUCAUAUAUUAAAAUAUCUAUACAUAUAUUUAAUUAAAUUAAUUAAUAUUUAAUUAUUAAAAUUAAAAUAUUUUAUCAUACAACACAUAUUAUAUACUUAGUUAUUUUUAAUAACUUUGUUUUUUGGACUAAAAUUUUUAUUUAAUCAAAAGAUUAUUCGUGCUAGUAAACAAUAAAAGAGUUGUUAACAAAAGCAAAUAACAAUUAAAUAUGAAACUCAACUAUUAAAUAAUUAAAUAUUGAGCGACAAACUUAAAAUAAAUAUUUUUAAAAAAUCAAUAAUAAAAAAAUUGAGUCAACUUGAGUUAACCCACUAACUCCACGAUCAUGGACACCAGAUUAGGAUAGCUCCAUGAAAAGAAAAGUGAAAAAAAAAAAACACAGAUCAAUCCCAAAAUUUUAAAUAUUGAAGGAUAAAAUUGAAGAAAAAAAUCAAUUUUAAAAAAGAUUUUAAAAAAUCAAAGUUAAGAAAUGUUAACUUUUAAAACUCAUGACCGUGAUCAUGAGACUAAGACCGACUGCAUGAAAGGCAAACAAAAAAAAACAAUGAAAAAAAAUUCUCAAUAAAAAUAUGCUUACUAAGGGAACUAAAAAAAUUAUAUAUAUAUAUAUCCGAGUCAAUUUGGAUUAACACAUUAACUCUGAAACUAUAGGCAUAGGAUUGAGAUAAUUCCACAUAAAGGAAGAUGAAAAAAACCAAUUAAAAAAAUUAAAUGUUAAAUGAUGAAAUUAAAAAUAAAUCAAUUUGAUAAAAGAACAUAAAAAAUUUAAAGUUAACUAGUGUUAACUUUCGAAACUUGUGACCCUAAUAAUAAGGAUGAGACUAACCACGUAGAAGACAAGAAGAAAAAUAAAGAACGGAGACCAAAUUCAAUAGAAAAAUCAAUUGAAAUCAAAUGCCGAAGAAUGCAAUUGAAAAAAAAAUAAUUUGUAAAAGGUUUUAAAAAAUAAAAAAAAUAAGGAUCAAAUUUGAUUUGAAAAACAAAUUAAACCAAACGAUAUAAAUGAAAUCAAAGGAAAAAUUAAUUAAAAAAUAAAAUAAAUAAAAUAAAAAAUAACAGAGAAGAGAUAUUAAUUCAAACAUAAAUUAAAAAAAUAUUUUUAAAAACAUAAAUUAAAAAAAUAUUUUUACCAAAAACAAAAUUGUUUUUGUUGGCCCAAAUGGCAAUAAACCUUCGCCUCCUUGUUAUUGUUGGGGUCGUGAUCCAAAUUCCAAACAUCAAGCCAAUAAUCACAUAUCUAUGCAAAUCAAAUAUAUGUUUUCUAUACCAAUAGCUUUUUCUAGAUAACGUUUUGCUAACAUCAAUGAUAACACCAAAGUUUUCACCAAAUCAUCUGGUUUGAAAUUCUUCACGUCCCAAGAUAUUUUUUAAGGCUAAUCCCAUAUUUAGACCCCCACACAUCUUUCAUCUAUAAUUGUUGUCUAUCAAAACCCAAUUUCUGUGUGAAUUUUUUUCACAAAUUCAUCAGUUAAUUAUUCACAAAUUCUUCGGGUUAAUUAUUAUACAAUUCUUUUGUAAUUUAAAGGCCUGUUUCAUUUCACAUACAGUGAUCAUCACCCUGCCGUGAACACUUGUGAGUGAACAAAUAUACUCUCCUAAACUAAUUUUCUUCUGGGCUGGGCCAAAUUGAAAUUGAGAAUUCCAGUUCAAGAUUUGCACUAAUUUGUCAACUUAUCAAGAUAUUUAGCUUUUGUGAUGCAACCCCUCCUCCAAUUGAGUUGCUGAUUUUUUUUUUUUUUAACAGGAGCCAUAUCCUUGUUAAUGUUACGUUAAGGCCAUUUUCCCAAAAUUUUGCCAAUAAAAUGAGAUAUAUUUGAUUGGCAAUCAGCACAAGCAUUUACAGUUUAAAUCAACUUGCAAAAAUUUACUCUAAUCCUAUGAACUCAUUUCCUCAGAGUUUCUUUUUUCUUGAGAGUAUCAGUUUGGACCCCAGCAACUCAAAUACAUGACUUUUCUUAGAGACUCCUCUGACUGUUUCGCCUUCUCUUCCUUGAAUNNNNNNNNNNNNNNNNNNNNNNNNNNNNNNNNNNNNNNNNNNNNNNNNNNNNNNNNNNNNNNNNNNNNNNNNNNNNNNNNNNNNNNNNNNNNNNNNNNNNUGAGAAAUUGACCCGACAUGGUUCUUGGCAUGUUGGUGUAGCGAUCUCAAUGUGUAGUUCCACCUACAAAAGCCUUGGUCUUUCAAGGCCUCAACACCUCCAAUAGCAGCAGCUACCAACCAAGCUUUACUUGCUGAACUCAUUUUCUUUGUAAUAUAAAAUAGAACAAUAGUUGGAAACUCUUUGAUGUGGGAUUUUUAGUUGAAAAAGAUGAGAUGUAAUUGAGAAUUCGUGUCGAUGGUGUAAAUGGCAAACUGGGAUUUGCUUAUAAAGAGAGUAGGGGACUAGGUGCCAGAAAUUGGGAGGAAACCGGAAGCUAGGAACAAGCUGUGGCUGGUGGUUUUGGCUUAGGGGAGCCAGUGGUAUUAUUUUAGUGUGGUUAUGCUAUGAUGGGACUGAAUCUUUAUGUCCAUCAAGGACCACUUGGUGGCAUUAAAUACAUUUCUUUUUCAUGCAUCUUAUCAUGUUGCUAUAGCGGGGCCUUGUUUUGGUAAGAGGCACACGGUUUGCUUUAUAAAAAUCCGAAGUGAGCCUCAAGUAUAGGAGGCAAAUCCACUUGUUUUUCUUCAGGUGUGGGGCUCGAGUAAAGGACAGACAAUAAUUGUAGAUCCAUUGCAUGUGUCACAAAAUACCAAGUUCUCAGCUCCCAAGCUCUCCUUAUCCAGACAUGUCAUCGAGCAAUUUCUUACGAGCUAAUUCAUUUUUCAGAUAUUCAAGAAAAUACUAAUUUUUUCUGUCAAGUUCAACCAUUUUGCAACAUUCCAAGCUUCUUGAAAGUUCAAAAGUUCUGACAUUGAAGUAAAUAAGCCCUAUUGAUCUUCAUUUAACAGAUAAUAUAUAUAUAUAUAUAUAUAUAUAUAUAUAUAUAUAUAUAUAUAUAUAUAACUUCCAAUUGGCUCCAAAAACGGGGUAAGGUUUUAAUCCAAUAAUUAUUUCUUAACCCAUUUAUGUCAUUAAAAAACCAGUCAAAGUUAGGCCUAGCUUUUUUUUAAUAGAUUUUCUUAACCAAAUAAGAAUUUAGAUCCUAUCUUGAGAUUGCAAUUGAUUCAAAUAUCCUUAGCAAAUGCUGUGAUGCACUAAACUUGAACCUUGUCAUGACCCUUUUUCACUUGUGACACGAGGUGCUCCCAAGAGAAGGGGGAAAACAGAAAAAAUAAAUGGUGCAAGGAAAAAUUAAUCAAAAAAUAAUAUAGUUUGAUUCCAUUAAGUCAGCACCAAAAUUUACAAAUAUUUACAUCAACUUGCAACAAUCAGGGUAAUCCUAUCACGAUAAUUUUCUCAAUUUCGUCUUGCUUCUUAGCUUUAGUAAGGACCCCAACAGCUCAAAUACAUGACUUUUCUUAGAGAUUCCUCAGACUGUUUUGCUCUCACUUCCUUGACUUUAUUGGAGAUCAUGGCAGAAGAUGAAGAAGAAAGCUUCUUGGCCUGAGAGGCUGAUCCGACAUGGUUCUUGGCAUGUUGGUGCAGGGAUCUCAAGGUGUAGUUCCACCUGCAGAACCCUUGGUCUUUCAAGGCCUCAACACCUCCAACAGCUGCUGCAACCAACCAAGCUUUGCUUGCUAAACUCAUUUUCUGUGUUACUGUAAUAUAGAACCAACGAGUUGGAAACUCUUUGAAGUGGGAUUUGGAGAGAUUAAGAUAUCAGGAGCUAUGAUUUGAUGAAGUAAAGGGGAGUAAAGGGGUUUGGUUAUAUAGGUGAGUGUACCAAAAUUGUCGGAGAAAAACCAGAGGCUCAAGGCUUCUUCGUGGUGGUUUUGAGUGAGGAAACCAGCAAAGGCCAACGGUAUUUUUUAUAAAACAAGUGGUCUCUAUUUCCCGUUUAAUCACUGGAAUACAUCUUUUCCAUUAAAAAAAUGGAGAUAAAAUAAGUUUCUUUUUAUUUAUUAUACUAGCUAGUUUGUUUUUGUUUUUAAAAAUAUUUUUUAAAAAAUAAUAUAUAUUUUUAUUAUAUUACAUUAUAAAAACAUAAUACUUACUCAAUAUCAUUAUUUUAAAGAGAAAUAAGAUAGUUGUCUGCUUCACAAUAGUAAUAUUUAGUAAAUGUCACAUUUAAAAACGCAACAAAAUGAAAUUUCAAUUAUUUAAUUUAAUUAGUUAACCAGUUCAUAAAGGUCAGUGAAACCAGUUAAUCGAUUCCAAAAAUAAUAAAAAAAAUCUCAAAAUUGCUAAAAUUAGGGGGUCUUAACAAUAUUUUUUUAUAUCUAAAGAUCAAAUAGUUCGCGUAGCAACGCAACUACUACUAUACAAGAAAUGACAUUCAAAAUCUCCAAUAAAAAAUUUGAGUGCUUAAUAAAAAAUUUAUGGUCCAUUUGAGAGGUAUUCUAGUCUAACGCGAUUAGGCCUUCUCUCUAAGCCUAAACCUAUCCUUUUGUUCCAUAAAAUCAUAUAUUAAGUCAUCCAAGUAAUUUAUUUGAAUCAGAUUUCAUUUAAUUAUGACAAACCUAUACAUGACUGCUCAGAAUCAUUUGUUAUCGUAAGAUUGACUAUAUCAUUGACAUUAAAAAACAAAAGACAACUACUAUGUAAAUAAUAACCUUUUGAGAUUUUAAUUGAAGUUUAUUUUUUAGUUUACAAGUUGAACGAAAUGUAUAUUUUCACUUAAAAUAUAUUUGAAAGAAAAAAUUUAUUAAAUUAUAGUUUUUGCAUGAAACAGUCGACCGGUUCAUACAAUUAAAUUCAACCGGUCGACCAGUUGAGCCAGGCAAUUGAAGUUUCACCUAACCAUUCUUAGAAAUAACAAUAUUUAGUAAAUGUUGUAUUUCUGAAAUACGAUAAAGUAAAAGUAUAUUAUUUCACCGAAUCUUUCUCAAAUGAUAUUACACUGUUAAUAUUUUUAAAAAAUAAACUAUAAUUUUAAAAAAUAACUCUGAUAGUUUUUUUAAAAAUAACCAUUAAAAACAUAUAUAUAUAUAUAUAUAUAUAUAUAUAUAUAUAUAUAUAUAUAUAUUCACUUCAAAAAAAGUAUUUCUUGCGAUCUAAUUCAUCUUUUAGAGAUUCAAGAAUUUUUAUUUUUUUUGGGCCAGUUCAACCAUUUUGCAACAGUCCCAAGUUUCUUGAAAUUUCGUAAGUUUUGACAUCGAAGAAAAUAGUCCCUAUUCAUCUUCAUUUAUGCAAAAAAACAAAAGACAUAAAGAACUUCCUUUUGGCUCCAAAAAGGGGAUAAGUCCAAUAAUUAUUUCUUAAUUCAUUAAUGUCCUUGAAAAACCAGUAUAAGUUCUAAAUCUAAUUUUUUUUUUAAUUGAAAUUUUAUUUUUACCAAAUUGUAAUUUAGAUUCUAGUGAGAUUCUGAUUGAUGCAAAUAUCCUUGACAAAUUAACCUUGUCAUGAUCCUUUUCACUUUGCGACAUGAGGGCCUGCGACAAAAUAAAUGGUGCAAGGAAAAACUAAUCCAAAAAUAAUAUGGUUUGAUUCCAUUAAAUCAGCAACAAAAUUUACAAAUCAAUUUACAUCAACUUGCAACAAUCAGGGUAAUCCUUUCACGAUAAUUUCCUCAAUUUCAUCUUGCUUCUUAGCUUGAGUAAGGACCCCAACAGCUCAAAUACAUGACUUUUCUUAGAGAUUCCUCAGACUGUUUUGCUCUCACUUCCUUGACUUUAUUGGAGAUCAUGGCAGAAGAUGAAGAAGAAAGCUUCUUGGCCUGAGAGGCUGAUCUGACAUGGUUCUUGGCAUGUUGGUGCAGGGAUCUCAGGGUGUAGUUCCACCUGCAGAACCCUUGGUCUUUCAAGGCCUCAACACCUCCAACAGCUGCUGCAACCAACCAAGCUUUGCUUGCUGAACUCAUUUUCUGUGUUACUGUAAUAUAGAACCAACGAGUUGGAAACUCUUUGAAGUGGGAUUUGUAGAGAUUAAGAUAUCAGGAGCUAUGAUUUGAUGAAGUAAAUGGGAGUAAAGGGGUUUGGUUAUAUAGGUGAGUGUACCAAAAUUGUAGGAGAAAAACCAGAGGCUAAAGGCUUCUUCGUGGUGGUUUUGAGCGAGGAAACCAGCAAAGGCCAACGCUAUUUUUGAUGACAUGAUGCAUCUUUUGUCUAAGUAGACGACNNNNNNNNNNNNNNNNNNNNNNNNNNNNNNNNNNNNNNNNNNNNNNNNNNNNNNNNNNNNNNNNNNNNNNNNNNNNNNNNNNNNNNNNNNNNNNNNNNNNNNNNNNNNNNNNNNNNNNNNNNNNNNNNNNNNNNNNNNNNNNNNNNNNNNNNNNNNNNNNNNNNNNNNNNNNNNNNNNNNNNNNNNNNNNNNNNNNNNNNNNNNNNNNNNNNNNNNNNNNNNNNNNNNNNNNNNNNNNNNNNNNNNNNNNNNNNNNNNNNNNNNNNNNNNNNNNNNNNNNNNNNNNNNNNNNNNNNNNNNNNNNNNNNNNNNNNNNNNNNNNNNNNNNNNNNNNNNNNNNNNNNNNNNNNNNNNNNNNNNNNNNNNNNNNNNNNNNNNNNNNNNNNNNNNNNNNNNNNNNNNNNNNNNNNNNNNNNNNNNNNNNNNNNNNNNNNNNNNNNNNNNNNNNNNNNNNNNNNNNNNNNNNNNNNNNNNNNNNNNNNNNNNNNNNNNNNNNNNNNNNNNNNNNNNNNNNNNNNNNNNNNNNNNNNNNNNNNNNNNNNNNNNNNNNNNNNNNNNNNNNNNNNNNNNNNNNNNNNNNNNNNNNNNNNNNNNNNNNNNNNNNNNNNNNNNNNNNNNNNNNNNNNNNNNNNNNNNNNNNNNNNNNNNNNNNNNNNNNNNNNNNNNNNNNNNNNNNNNNNNNNNNNNNNNNNNNNNNNNNNNNNNNNNNNNNNNNNNNNNUUAGCUUUGCUAAUCUAAUCUAUCAUGCAGGGGUUAAUGGCUAUGAUCAUGCAUGAAGUUAAAAGUCAGUUGUUUUCUUCCUUCAAGAAGGUCAUAUGCAGGUAGCUUUCCACUAAUGUUAACUAUUAGCGCUUGAAUAGAAAUUUAGGGAAAAAUUGUAUUGGUCACGACCAUUUGUAUUUCUGAAAAUAAACGCUCAUAUUUUUAAUUUUUUCUUUUCAUUUGGGUUUUUAACAGAGAGAGAUUCUAGUGAGCUUGUAAGAGUGAUUUAAGAAUGAACAUUAAUUUUGAAUCAGCAUCGUUCCUAGUUUCUUGAAACUGCAGCUUUGACAUGGAAAAGGACAUAAUUCUGUAUUUUUAAAUAUCAAAAGAUUUCAAUCCAAUGUUACUUAAUAAUAAAUUUAUGUGAUAGUAUAAGGUCCUCUUCCAUUUUUCACACAAUGAUCACUCCUGUUGUGAUCAGUGACUGAGAAUUUUACACCAAAAUGGAUUUUCUUUUGGGUCAAAUCCAAUUUGAGAUUUUCGUUUUUCAUGUAGCCUUUUAAUCCAUUUGAGGAUGUGGGGAGAAAGAUAUUUUAGAUUCCAGUUGAAUGUCAUAUCUCAAAUUGAAAUUAAAUGAAAUUGCCUGUUUAUUCCACUAGAAAACUAGAAAAGAGCUUUGUUAAAUUUACUCACUGAGGAGAUGCACUGCGCGCUACCAAAAGAAUUGAUAAAAACAUAUGAUAAUGUUCGAUUUCAGCAAAUGAGCAUCAAAAUUUACAAUUUGCAUAAGCUUGCAAGGUUUUACUCCUAUAAACUAAGUCCCUCGAUUUCGUCUACUAGAUUCAUAGCUUCAGUUUGGACCCCAACAACUCAAGUACAUGACUUUUCUUAAAGACUCCUCCGACUGUUUUGCCUUCUCUUCCUUGACUAUAUUUGAGAUCAUGGCUGAGGAUGAAGAAGAAAGCUUCUUGGCCUGAGAGGCUGAUCUGACAUGGUUCUUGGCAUGGUGGUGUAGGGAUCUCAAUGUGUAGUUCCACCUACAGAACCCUUGAUCUUUCAACGCCUCAACACCUCCGAUAGCAGCGGCAACCAACCAAGCUUUACUCGCUGAACUCAUUUUUUAUGGUACUGUAAUAUAGAACCAACAAGUUUGUAGUGGGAUUUGUAGACAGUAAGAUAACACGAGCUAUGCUUUGAUGAAUCCCAUGGAAGGAUGGGGUUUGGUUAUAUAGGUGAGAAUGCCAAUAGUUUAGGAAAAAACCUGAGGCUAAAGGCUUCCUGCUGGUGGUUUUGGGUGCGGAAACCAGCAAAAGCCAAUGGUAAUUUUUUACGGUGAGAUGACUGUAUUGACAUUCAACUACCACAUGCCGACAAUAAGAAAAUGGGGACAAAAUCGGGUUCGUGGGAUGGCUAGAUUUGUUUUACUUUUGCUCUACAACAACCCAAUAGCUUCUCUGCCUGCCUUGAAGAAAUGAGCACACGGUUUUUCUUCGUAAAAUAAAUAAAUCCAAGCCAAAGUAUCAGGAGGAGCAUAGCUGAAGGGUGAGUCAUGCAUUCCACAAUUUGGUGGCACUUUCUCAUUGAAGUGCAUUUGCCACUUGUAAGGAAUGUAAGAAAGUGUGGGACUGAGGAUAAACAAAUGUCAAAUUGCAUGCUUCUCCUUUUCUUCUUUAUAUAAAAUAAAUUUGAUAGCCUCUCUCUCUCUCUCUCUCUCUCUCUCUCUCUUUUGGAAUUCAUCUUUUUCAUACUUUAUUUUACGGUAAACAUGUAUUCACAUAAAGCUUGAAUCAAUCCCUUCUCAGAAACUUACAGUAUUGAGCAAAUUACUUACAUCCAGACAUGAAGAUAUAUAAAAAUCCUACUCGCCAUCAACUUUCACAGGAAGGUUUAUAAAAGAUUUGGGAAAAGAAAAUACGUAAGCACCAAUUAGCACAUUAUUUUAUAUUUGAUGUUGUGGUACAGUCAUAUUUUUAAAUUUUUUUGUGUUAAUUUAAAAAUUAAAAAUUUUAAAAAAUAUUAUUAAAACAAUCUCUAAAAAGAAAAAUUCCAAAUUGGAAUCCUCUAUCUAUAAAAAUUAUCCAAUUAUGAUAAACAAAAUUUAUUAUUUUAAGUCAAAUUGAUCCUCAACUUUAUGAAUCAUGAUUUGUUUACCAACAUAGAUGUGCACAAUUUUCUUUUUAUAUUUGAUAUGAAAUAGUUUUUUCAGGUUAUUUUGUGUAUCAAUCUUACUUGUAUGAUUUUAGAAGCCAUAUCCUAUAAACACAUGAUACAUUAAAAAAAAUUAAACUCAGAAUGCUAACUUUUGAAUAAAAAUAAAUAAAUCAUGCACAAAUUUUAAAACGAGGGUUAAUUAGGUGAGUACAAUUUCAAGCUAACAGUGACGAAGUUGUAGAAACCACUUGCAAAAGAAUUAGCUUCCUUUUAGGUUGAGUUGGACUAAAACCUGCUUGAGAAAGUAUUGGGAUGGAUGAUAACCUUCAAAACAAGUAUUUUGAUGCAAAUGAUAGAUCCUUCAAUGCUUAAAUCAAUUUAAGUAGGAGAGAAAGAGCCUUGAAUAACCAUGUAUAUGUGUGGGUGUUAGAAUAGUAGCAAGGUUAAGGAGGAUAUGAUGGCGAAGAAGAUGAAGAAAUUAUCCCUUACUUCAAGAUUUAAGUCUGUAAAUGUCCUUUGCUCUAAAAAAUUCUGCCCACCAUUCAACGGAAGCCUCUAAAAUCCUAUCGAAGCCCUAUUAUCCAAGCGUAGAAAUGGUUAAUCGUUUACUUGAAGUGAGAAGUGGUCACACUGAUAGUCAGGUUGGAAUUUGGAAGACUACAGAUCUCCAGAAAAAUUGUUGAAAUUCCAGUUUGAAUUCUAAAUUGAAAAUGCACAUGUAUCUAAUCUUGUUGCUUGACGUUAAGCAUCAAACCAUGAUCUAUCAAGGAAAGGCUUAAUCCAUGCUCAAAAUUAAGCAGGAUGUUUGAAUGUCAUUUAGCCCAUGUCACAGAAACCAUGAAAAUUUGGUGGCAACAUCUCACAACGAAAUGAUCAAAGAACAAGGAAGAUUUUUUAGAUUGCAUGGGUCGACAUCAAUUAAAAAGCGAUAGGAAAAGAUAGGAAGAUGGUGACAACAUUUUUGUUCCACAAAAUUUUCGUGUUGCAUAUAGCAAUGAGGGCAGUCAGACUAGCUACAGUUCACAUCAGGCUUGCAUCAAUCACUAAUCAAGCCCCGCAAAUUUUCUCUCACAAACCAUAAUCAUGGCUUUGACUAUGUUCUUCUCAAUGGACCAGCUUCAGCCUGCACAAGGCAUCAGAUUCUCAUGGCAAACUUCUCAACUCAUUUAAUUUGGACCCCAACAACUCAAGUACAUGACUUUCCUCAGAGACUCCUCGGAUUGGCUUGAUUCCCUCAAUUUACUCGAAACCAUAACAAAAGAUGAAGAAGAAAGCUUCCUGGCCUGAGAGAUUGACCUCAUAUUAUUCUUGGCAUGUUUGUGUAAUGAUCUCAUGGUGUAGGUCCAUCUGCAAAAACCCUGGCCCUUCAAUGCCUCUACAGCUCCAAAUGAGCAUCAAAAUUUACAAUUUGCAUAAGCUUGUAAGGUUUUACUCCUAUAAACUAAGUCCCUCGAUUUCGUCUACUAGAUUCAUAGCUUCAGUUUGGACCCCAACAACUCAAGUACAUGACUUUUCUUAAAGACUCCUCCGACUGUUUUGCCUUCUCUUCCUUGACUAUAUGUGAGAUCAUGGCUGAGGAUGAAGAAGAAAGCUUCUUGGCCUGAGAGGCUGAUCUGACAUGGUUCUUGGCAUGGUGGUGUAGGGAUCUCAAUGUGUAGUUCCACCUACAGAACCCUUGAUCUUUCAACGCCUCAACACCUCCGAUAGCAGCGGCAACCAACCAAGCUUUACUCGCUGAACUCAUUUUUUAUGGUACUGUAAUAUAGAACCAACAAGUUUGUAGUGGGAUUUGUAGACAGUAAGAUAACACGAGCUAUGCUUUGAUGAGUCCCAUGGAAGGAUGGGGUUUGGUUAUAUAGGUGAGAAUGCCAAAAGUUUAGGAAAAAACCUGAGGCUAAAGGCUUCCUGCUGGUGGUUUUGGGUGCGGAAACCAGCAAAAGCCAAUGGUAAUUUUUUAUGGUGAGAUGACUGUAUUGACAUCCAACUACCACAUGGCGACAAUAAGAAAGUGGGGACAAAAUCGGGUUCUUGGGAUGGCUAGAUUUUUUUACUUUUGCUCGACAACAAGCCAAAAGCUUCUCUGCCUGCCUUGAAAUGAGCACACGGUUUUGCUUCGUAAAAUAAAUAAAUCCAAGCCAAAGUAUCAGGAGGAGCAUAGCUGAAGGGUGAGUCAUGCAUGCCACAAUUUGGUGGCUCUUUCUCAUUGAAGUGCAUUUGCCACUUGUAAGGAAUGAAUGUAAGAAAGUGGGACAAACUAUACAUGAGGUGAAAAAAAAUUUGGGAUUAAAAUAUUUGUUUUUUUUUAAAUUCAGUUUGAAAUCUUGUGAUUGUUUAUAUGAUGGUCACUGAAAACUUAUAUAGUCGUUAAUUUUAGGACCCGUUGGAUUAAUUGAGGUAUGUGCAAGUUGGUUCGGAAAAAAAAAAAAAAAGUGGGGGACUGAGGAUAAACAAGUGUCAAAUUGCAUGCUUCUCCUUAUCUAUAUAUUAAAUAAAGUUGAUAGCAUCUCUCUGUCGAUUUCUUGGAAUUCAUCUUUUUUCAUAUUUUAUUUUACGGUAAACAUGUAUUCACAUAAAGCUUGAAUCAAUCCCUUCUCAAGAACUUACAAAAUUGAGCAAAUUACUUACAUCCAGACAUGAAGAUUUAUAAAAAUCCUACUCGCCAUCAACUUACACAGGAAGGUUUAUAAAAGAUUUGGGAAAAGAAAAUACGUAAGCAUCAAUUAGCACAUUAUUUUAUAUUUGAUAUUUCAGCUUAGAUUGUUUAAACAAUAUAUUUAGAUUAUGUUGUGGUAGUGGUUUUUAUUAAAUAUUUUUCAAAAUAUAUUAAAAUAAUAUUUAUUUUAUUUUUAAAAAUUCAUUUUUAAAAUCAUAAAAUACAAAAAAAAAAAAAAAACGCCGGUACACGUGUUUUUUUUAAGGGAAGUACCAUCCAAGCAUAUCUAAGGCCCAUCUACACAUCCAAGUGCAUCCCUGGCCUUUCUAGUUUUCUAUUUGGGGAUCCAAUUGAGAAUUAAAUGAAAGUUGGUGGUUUGUAUAUCCAUUGCUCUAAAAAAUUCUGCCCACCAUUCAAAGUAGGCCUCUAAAAUCCUAUCGAAGCCCUAUUAUCCAUGCACAGAAAUGGUUAAUCGCUUUACUUGAAGUGAGAAGUGCUCAAACUGGUAGUCAGGUUGGAAUUUGGAAGCCAGAUCUGCAGAAAAAUUGUUGAAAUUCCAGUUUGAAUUCUAAAUUGAAAAUGCACAUGUAUCCAAUCUUGUUGCUUGACGUUAAGCAUCAAACCAUGAUCUAUCAAGGAAAGGCUUAAUCCAUGCUCAAAAUUAAGCAGGAUGUUUAAAUGUCAUUUAGCCCAUGUCACAGAAACCAUGAAAAUUUGGUGACAUUUAAGCAAUGGUGUAAUUACAAGCUGAUCAUGAGAUGGCAGUCUGCCUAGCUACAGUUCACACCAGGCUUGCAUGAAUCACUCAUCAAGUCCCACAAAUUUUCUCUCACAAACCAUAAUCAUGGCUUUGGCUUUGUUCUUCUCAAUGGACCAGCUUCAGCCUACAUAAGGCAUCAGAUUCUCAUGGCAAACUUCUCAACUCAUUUAAUUUGAACCCCAACAACUCAAGUACAUGACUUUCCUCAGAGACUCCUCGGAUUGGCUUGAUUCCCUCAAUUCACCCGAAACCAUAGCAAAAGAUGAAGACGAAAGCUUCCUGGCCUGAGAGAUUGACCUCAUAUUAUUCUUGGCAUGUUUGUGUAAUGAUCUCAUGGUGUAGGUCCAUCUGCAAAAACCCUGGUCCUUCAAUGCCUCUACAGCUCCAAUGCUAGCUCCCACAAUCCAAGCCUUUCUUGCUGUACUCAUUUUUUUUCUUUAACCCUUAAAGUUUCCCUUUUCUUUUGCAAGUAGAUGACUACAGAUUAAAGAUGAUCUUAAUGAAGCUAAUGGAUUCUAAGGGGCCUUUAUUUAUAGAGGGGAUGGUGAUAGCUGAAAGUCAGUAGUAGAAAGCCAGAAACCAUUAGCUAUAGGCUAAUGUCACUGGUUUUGGCCCCUGGUAAGGCAAAUAGCAUUAUUUUUUCUAAAAUUACUUUCUUGACCAUGCAUAACCACUUGUCAUACUAUUAUAUUAAUAAUAGAAUUACAAUCAACUCGAGGAUUUUCCCUUAAUUGUUAAAAAUUAGGUUUAUUUUCUAGAAAUUAUCAAAUUUAAAUUCUAUAAAUUUUAAAAUUAUUAGAAAUUUAUAUAGUUAUUAAUUUUAGGGCCAGUAAAAUUAAUCAAGGUAUGUGUAAAUUGAUUCGAACAUUCAUGUUAAUAAAAAAAAUAAAAGGACAAUCUUCCUAGAGGUUACCAGUUUGAGUUUCGCAAAUCUCAGGAUCAUUGAAGAUUUAUAUAGUCGUUAAUUUCAUGGCUUAUAAGAUUAGUUGAACUAUAUACAAACUGAUCCGAAUAUCUAUAUUAAAAAAUAAUAAUAAUAGAAGGAUAAGUAUGGGUUUUGGUCACAACUUGACGUGAAAAUGUGACAAGAUAAUGCAGCCACUAGACUAAAGUGAGUAAUAAUGGACACGCAGUUUUCUUGUGAAACUGCCUGGUACUCUGUCAGAUGAGGCCACCGGCAACAAAUGAUGGCACCCACUCUGGUCAUUUGUGGGUUUUGACUUCAGAGGACAAGCCGACAAGUCGUGGAGACAAACAAACUUCAAGGGUAAAAUUGCUAAAUUGUUUCUUUAGAGACUCAACUGUGAAUACAAAUGUGGGUUGGGAAUUCGUGGUAACUUAUAUGAGAUGAUUCAUAAUGUUCUAGACAAUUGUAUUAAACUCACUCUGUCUUAUCAAGUAAAUUCGGUAAUCUAUCCAUCCAGAGCUUGGUAUGAACUAUAUGAGAGUUGAAUCGGUAAAAUCGGGUUUAAUCAUUCGGGUUUAUUCUUAACUUGAUCAAAAUAAAUUUUUGAUGAGAUCUGAUUUGAUUUUUUUUGUUUAAAACAAUAUUGAUUUAAUUUUUUUCUUAAAAAAACUUGAAAAUAAGCCGUUUUAUAAUUUCCGGAUGAUAUCCAUGCAUAGGUUUUCUGUGGUCUGUCUAAGAAAGCGCGGUAAUGAGCUCAUUAAUUGCGCCAUUUUCGCGAUCUGGAGAUUUAUUAAUCGUAAUUUUGCUUGGUUUACAAAAAUUGCUUCUAUUGAAAAAAACCCUCUUGAAAAAGCACCAUGUUUUGGCUAGCUUAAGAAUCAAAUCGCCUGAUUCUUCUAUCAGGCCAAACAUUAAGGUCAUCAAGCACAGGAGUUAAACCUGACGUUUAGAGCCAACAAACACGAGUCUAAGCUACUUAAGCAGGAAUUGUCUUGGAGCCGUUCAAGGGCUCAAAGACCAGAACUCUAAAGGGAUGAUGAAGCAUCAUCAGGCAAGAGCAGCAAGACCAGAAUCCGAAAAUUCCACUCAGUUUAGAUGGGUUUCUGGUGCCAUUAAGCCCAUGAAGAUGGGUGGUGUUAGAGAGAUGCUCAGGGUAAGGGAAGCCGGAAAGGCUGAGAAUGCCAUGCAUCUCUCAUUUGUUGGGGACCUCGUUAAGAUAAUCAGUAUGUUGUGUACUCGUUCUGUAAAUUUCUCAACAUAGAUGAAUUAAUAUGUUGGUGUUUUGUAACAAUACAUAUAGCUUAUAGAAAUUACUAGCAUCAAGUGUAUUAGUCUAUUCGGGUUCAAUCGGUUCUAAGGGAUUUUAGUGGACAUCCUAUCAAGAAUUUAAAUCCUAUAGACACUGCAAGUCCAAUUUGAAAAGCAUGUGUUUUGGACUUGUUGGCCAAUCAUGACUUUAAAAGUAUAAAUCUAUGAUCCAUUUUCUAGACAAGCACUUGACUAAGUAAUAUAUCCAAACUCGAGUGAUUAAGUAUUAAAUGAAUGUAUGUAACUUACGAGAGGAGAGGUGCACCUCAACUUAUCAUAUUUUAAGUUUGUUUUUCAAAAUUUAUCAUUUUAAGUUUUACAAAUAUCAGGACCACUAAAAAUAAAAACUUAUAUGAUCAUUAACUUCAAGACCUAUAAAAUUAGUCGAAGUGUACGUAAAUAAUAUACCAAAAAUUAUUAAAAAAAAUUAAUGGAUCAAAAAUAAAAAAAAAACAUAUCCGACUAGUAUGUGAACUUAUCAAAUUUAUGAACCGGGUAACUCGAACCUAUGAAUCGGGUUAUGAAUUCCAUUGGGAUUAUAAUUUUUUUUCGAAACUAGUUUUUAUUUACUACAUGAUAAAAACAAUAUAAUCACAAAAUAAAACAUCAACCAAAUACUAAGAUGCUGUAAAAAAUUAAGAAACAAAUGAAAAUCAAAAUAUUUAAUAUCGCAACAUGAGUAAUUUACCUUGUUAUGUUUAAUGAAUUUCUCUAUCAAAAUAAACUUGUAAUAGAAAAACAAAUAAAAUUUAUAAUAGAAACCAAAAAAACACAUCAAAUUUAUUGAAUAAAAAAAUGCAAGGCUUCACACAUUAAAAAUCUUGUAAAAAAUCUAUAUUAAAAAAAUCUAUAUAAAAUGAAAAAAAAACAAUUACAGAUGAGUCAUACAUACCUCUUUAAAAACUAAACACACUUAAUAUCAUUAAAAAAUAAUUACAAACUAAUUAAAAUAAUAACUAUCAGGUUGAUGGUAGGUCAGGCUUAGCACCUGGCCCAAUCAAGCAACAGACCGCACGCGAGCCUACAAGGCUAGACCAACCAUGUGGGCCUAUAUUUUUUUAAGUUCAUCAUCUGCCCAUGCAUCAGAAAAAAAUUUGACGUGUCACCUGCAUCAGCAAAUUACACGUAUUAUGUUCAUCCCUAGAAUCUAGUAACUAUGGUAGUCGGAAAAAUUGUGUAAUUUGUUUUUUUAAUCUAAAAACCUAUCUUCAAUCCAUUUUCUACCCAAAAAUACCUAGAAAACACCGUAGAAAACUUGUUACACCAAUACAUGGUCACGAAAAACAUAAAGAACUGCCUUAAAACCCAAAAUCCACAUGAAACAAAAAAUAUUUCGAGCUCAAUCUGAUUUUUAGGUGUUUAUAAGGUAGAAAAAAUACUUAAUAUUAAUUCCCCUCAUCAUAUGGAACCAUUUAACAUAAAAAAACAACUGUUUUGAUGACCGGAUUCCUCACCAACAUACACCUUUUCUCUCCAAGCCAGAAUUUGACGACUUUCUCUCUCUUCUCCAUCUAACAAAAAACUGAAAAAUAAGUUAAAUAAAAUUUGAUAUUAAAAUUAAAUUUUAUAAAAUUUAAAGGACUAGUCACCUAAUAACUAAAAAUGAUAAGGGACUCAAAUAAAUUGUUGACAUAAAUUUUCAAUCAGCCACCUAUAUUACUAUAAAUUUUCAAUCAGCCACUUAUAUUCCUUGAUUGUCUCACUUUAGUCCAUUUCCUUUUGAUUCAACACUCUCUUUACAAAAAAAUAAUAAUAAUAAUAAUAACAUGUAGUUGAAUUUUAAUUUAAUUUCAAAAUAGCUCAAUUAUACAAAAUUUUUAAAAAUUACACUAUUAUAAUUCACAUAUACGAGAGAAACAAUGAUAUUUUUAUAAACAGUGGAUUUAGCUUUAUGUAUAAUGAUAGUAAAUAUCAGUAUGUUGCUUAACAAUGAGCCUUCUAGUAAAUUAUUGAAACACAAGAUUAUUAAUGUGUUCAUACAUGUUGUCUAAUCCUCAGAGGUACAGUGCUUCUUCUGUGUCGAUUUCUUAACCUCUCACACAUGUUCUUAGCAUGUUCCAUAUAUCAAGUGUUUUCUUUAGAUGAAAAGGCUAUUUGUGUGAUCCAUGAUAGUUUGAUGCCUUUCUUUACUAGAGAGAAUAUGUCCUUGAACUUCAAUUUUAUUUAUCUUCAAAUUGUUGAUUUCGAUUGAUGUUUUGAAUGAAUCAUAAGCAAAUCUAUCUCCAAAUCCUGUGGCCUUAAUUCCCAUCAUGAUCAAGGGAAAGCAUAUCUUAUAAUCAAUUUUCAUGGAGUCUCUAUCUUGCUUUUUUAGGUACCACCAUGCAUUAGCAAUUUUAAGAGUUUCAGGCCAUUUUCUGUGCUCAAGGAUCUGAUCAUUACUUGCCAUUUUCUCACUUUAAAGUUCCCAUGACGAUGAACAAGAAAAGAUAGGCAUAUAUGUUAAAUACAGUACAUAUUCAUGAACACUCCACUUACAUUACAGACUCUGUACAUUAACUUCGAUGCAAUACCCCAGCCUGCUCUCACGAUUUGGAUUGCAUAGCAGUUAAUUAGGACCCCAACAACUCAAAUACAUCACAGUCCGCAGCGAUUCCUCUGCCUGUUUACGCUUGUUAUCUUCACUAUUUUUAGCAGGAUUAUUGAUAUCCUUGGAACUGAAAUUACCUGAGAAACUUGUUUUCUGCUUGGAUGAAGCAGAGGUACAAGCAGCAUCAUUAAGGGGCUUGACACUUGAGUCAUUUUUAGAAGCUUUAUCUUUAACACUCUGCAUCCUUUGGAAACCUGGCUGAAAGAAUUCCUUCCCAAUGGAUCUCAAGCUCAUAAUAACUUGUUCUAAGAGAGACUAAACGCUUUCCAUUUUUACUGCUUCUGUGUGUGUAGAAAAUAGUAUUUGUUUCCGGAGUGUUAUAGGAGAGUGGAGUGAAGAGAGAUGUAAAGUCUACACCAUAAGAGUAAGAACAAAGCUGGAGUAAAGAAUCACAAGUAGCUUAUCUAGUUAUUGACUUUAGCGGGGAACUUGCAAUAUAUAGAGGAAACAACGGUAUUUUGUAAUAUUAUUUUUUUUUAGCUCUGUGAUUCCUGCUUUGAAAAAGUAAGUGUAGAAAGCAGCUAGCCAGUGACCAUGAUUAAAAUAUUAAUUCACUGAAAGAUCUUGUGACUCCACUUGGCUAUAAAUCUAUCCCCUUCCAAUUUUGUAGAUUUUAAUCUAUCUCGCAUGUCAUCAUGAUUCUUCUUGAUGUUUAAUGCUACAUGUAAUGAGAUUAAAUUUUGUCUUGUUUAAUCUUGAACUAAUUUAGGUACCAGGAAAUGUGGAGGUCCUGUUGUUUUUUAGUGUUAUUAAAUUUAGUCUUGUUUAAUCUAGUGGAUAUAUUAGAUUUUAAAUUAAAUUAAGUUAUAGUUAAUUUGAUGUGAUUAGGUCAAAACUUAAUUUAACUUUUUAAAAUGAUAUUAUUUUAAUUUAAAAAAAAAUCUGAAAAAAAAGCUAUUAUACAUUGAUUUAAUUAAUACACUUAAUUCAUUGGUUUUAAUAUUUUUUUUAUUAUUUUGUACAAAAAAAAAUGAAGGUGAUAGUCUAGUUUAAACUCUUGAUACAUAUGAUAUUGUUUGUUUUUACAGUUUAUUUAAAAAAGUUAAUUUUUUUAAUAUUUUAAAAUUAUUGUAAUGUGUUGAAAUAAAAAAAAUUUAAAAAAAUAAAAAAAAUUAUUUUAAUAUAUUUAUAAAUAAAUGUUUUUUUAAAAAGUAAUCAAUAUUACAACCACUGACGGUCUGAUAAUACACUGCGUUCAAUGACCAUAUUAUGAAAAUCUAUCACAUCAAUAUGUCAUGUCCGAAACUAUGAUUUUGUCUAUAAAUCAUAGGACAUAGAGUUGCCGGCAAUAAUAAUACCCGCAAAUCUCAUGGCCAUAGGCGAGGCCAGGAUCCUGUGUUACCGUGCAGUGUAAUUUAAUGAAACAGCCACCACAGCCACAUGAAGCUUUACCUUGAGUCUCCACCGUUUCAAUUUACAGUGAAAGAUUCUAAACCCAUCACACAGUUGCAGAAAUUGUCAACUGAUACUUCAAUUUCUCGCAUAUUAUUUAUAUGUUUGUAGCUAUAGCUAGUUUCCAUCCAUGUCUAGAGAGAGACAUGACUUGACAUGAAAUCUCCAUCUUAAGAUUUUCCCUCACUGUUACUCUUCCCUCUUUUUACCACAGAUGUCUCUCAUUUAUGUUCAGACCAUCCAUGACUUUAUUUGACGUAGAUUUUUACUCGGUAAUAUAUUAACUCGGUAAAACAAAAUUACCUUGAAGUUAAUAUGAAAAAUAAGAAUAAAAUGCUAUCAUUUUAAUAAAAACAAUAAACUUUAAUUAAUCUAAUAAUUUAUGGAUUGAUAGAUAAAUCAAUCACAUGCUUUUUUUUUUUAUUUUUAAAUCAACACAUUUAAUUAAGAAUAUUGACAUGAUAGCAUGGUUAAAAUAAUAAUCGGUAAAAUAGCAUAAUUUACACAUGUCAUGAUUGAAAAAUACAACUUUUAUAACUUGUCGCUAUUCAAAAUAAUGAUAUAUUUUAAAAAAUAUUAAAUGAGCCGGAUAAAGGAGAGAUGCAAUAAAAAUAAAGAAAAGAAAAAAAAGAUCUUGAAAAUACACCGAAAAAACUAUGAUCAUAAUACCAUAAAUAUAAUGAGAAAGAUUUUAAUAAUUCAAAUUCAAUAAUACUAAAAAAUAUUCUUCAAUAAUAGCAACUUGAAUGAACCACACUAAUCAUUAAAGUGGGUUAUUUUUGAAUGAUAAAUAUGACUCUUGGGUUGCAAUGGUAAACUUUUUUUAUAUGUUAAAUUGUUUUGGUUAAGAUUUUUUUUUAAUAAUAUUGAUAUUUUGUAAUCAAAGCUCAAGUGGGUAUUGAAUUUUUUUUCCUUUUUCUUUCUUAGUGGCUCCCUCCUAUAGAAUAUUACAAUCCUAAAUAACAUAAGUUAUAAAAAUUACGUUUUUCAAUGAUGAUAUUUAUAAAUGGUACUAUUUUGCUCGUUUGGGGCUACAUUAUUUCAACUUUUUUUUUCCGAAAAAUAUCCUCAAAACAAAAAAUAGGCCUUCUUUUCUGAAUCAAUUACCGAGUAGAGGCUCACAACUAUACAGUGUUUCUGUCUCUUCAACUGCUGUACUGGACAUUUGUUUGUCUCUUCCUUUGUAAUUAGAAAUCUGUACGGUAAGAUUGUUGCUGAAAAUGAAAAGAUAGCGAGCAUGUUACUUCCAUGGUAAUUGGAGCAGAAGGCAUAUAACCACGUGAAUCAAUGGAUAGCCUAGGCACGUUAAAAGUGACUUGGAUAAGAUCGACACGUCAUCAGGAGAAGCCAUGACUGCAAGCUACAAUUUGACUGCUUUCCCCCUUUUUGUUUUGUAAAUUUUAUUUCUUUAUUACUAUUGUUUCUUGUAUUACCCGCGGGUUAUUUUCCAUUUUUUAAAAAAACAUUAUGAAUCAACCACAAUGUUAAUUGAGUGGAGAAAAUAUUUUAAUUUAUUUAAUGCAAAAAACACUUUUAAAAAGUUCAUUACACCAAAAUACUAAACACAUAUUAAAUUACAAUCAUUUAAUUUAAAUUUAAUAUUUUAAAUUUAACGAGCAUAUCAAUCAUAUUAUUUUAAAAUCAUGGGAUCGUCUCGUUCUUUCUUACGAGUUCCUUAAUCAUAACUAGGAUGACUUGAUUCCAAGAAUUGCGAGGACAAGAUUUAAGGAAAAAUAAAUAUUUAAUGACAUGAAAAUACUACUUAAUCGUAACACAAACCACUAAUCAUCUUGACUAAAUCAAUUUCCAAUAUUUUCUUUUUUUUAAUUAAUCGUAAUUCUACCAUCAAAAUUACUUCUUAUCUCAAUUAUAUGGCGAAAUUAUUUUGCCUUUUAUCUAAAUUUCUAAAUACGACUAAAACAAUAUACAUCAAAUCAAAACAACAAGUGAGCUCACUUAAACUGGUAGAUCAGCUGAUAAUAUUCAAAUAUUUUUUUUAAAAAAAAAUAUACUUGAUUUGAAUCCUACCACUUAUAUUUCUUAACUAAAUAUAAAUAUGAGUUUGAUCAUUGUCUUCCAUGUAACUUAAGCAAGGCGCAUUUGCUUCUGUACAAACACCCAUGCAGUUCCUGCCAAGAUGCAUCCACUCAAAGAAAAUGGCAUCAAUGGAAACGAUGCAUGUACCUCUCAGUUUUGGCAUUAUGAGUGAAAAGACUCACGAGAAAAAAGGCUGCUUGUCUAACUCACAGACAGCAAUUCAAUGUUCCAUGACAUCAGCUCAACAAUGUUUAUCUCUCUCUCUCUCUCUAUGUAAGAACAAAAUACUCUCCCCGGCAUAAGGAAGCAUGGUGCCCAAGUACAGAAAAGUAGCCGAACAGAUGAAGCCUCGGAGACAAGAAAGGGCUAGAAGCCCAGAGAUAAUAGAGCGAACCCACUAGAGCUGUUCACGGACAAUACUUCGGCCGAUGUCCGGUCCAAAUUAUAGAAAAUUCUUUAGGACCCAACAACAUAGAAAUUGGAUACGUGGUAGUAGCUACUAGAUAUAUUGCCUGUGUUUCGGCUGAAUAUUAUUUUUAUGUAUAAAAGUAAUAGUAAAAAAAAAAUUCAAGUCUCAAGUAAAGUGACAAUUUAAAUAAUAAAAAAAACAAUAAUAAUAAAUAAACCAAUAAGAAAACAACAACAAAAAUAAAUCAUAUUUGAACUUAUUUGGAUUAUCAAACAACCCAAUACUACCCUAAUUGAAGGAAAGCCAUAAAAAAACAGAGUCAAAGUUCAAAAAACAAAAAAUAUUAGCUUAAUAAAAGGGGGAAAUAACCAAGCAAACCAAAACGAAACUCCUAAACAUAGUCUAAUCUAAAAAACUUGUUUCUUGUUAAAUUAUGAACUCGAGUUCAAUUAAAAAACUUAAAUGUCAUCCAAUUUAACUUUGAAUGUUGAAAUCGUUGAAAAAACUAUUAAUAAAAAAACUUGAAAAAAAAACAACAACAAAAAAAAAGAAUGAGGCUAAAAUUUGGCAAGAAAAAACCCAAUAAAAAUGAAAUUUGAGAAAAAAAUAUUGCAAACCAAAAAAAUUAUAAUUAAAAAAAUUAGGACAAAACUUGAAAGAUUAAAAAAUUAUAAGAAUAAAAUUUAAAAUUAUUUGUAAUAUGAAAAAUAAUUUAUAGAUUAAAAAAUAAUAGAAAAUGAAAUAAAAUAAAUAAAUUAUUAAGGGUUAAUCUAAUAGAAUUAAACUAAAAAAAUAAAAAAUAAAAAUUUUAAAUUAAUCAAUAUCUACUUUUAUUGAAGGAAAAAAAAAACUUUAGCUAAAUUCAGACAAAUCAUUAAAUUGAUUUAUCAAAUCAAAUCAAGUUUAAUGUACUUAUAAAUGAGAUCUUAGUUUUAAGUUUUAUCCCUAUAUAAACCCUUUAAAAUUAUAUAUUUACAUGUUGAUUUAAAUAAAUUAAAUUGAAAAAAAUAUAUAAAAAGAAUAGAAAAUCCAAAUUUCCAUCGACUAUCUUUUCUUAUUUCUACUACCCCAUCAAACCACAACCACGAAUUCUUAACAAAACGUACCAAAAUCCCAAUCACCCAUAACAACUUACGUGUCAAAACCUCACCGGUUCCCUCUAAAAAUCAAAAUAAUCCAAUUUGUUCUUACAAAAAAUAACGGAUAAUCCUCUCUUUCAAUUUCCAACCUCUCACUUUCUCUACUUUCCCCUCGAUCCAAACACACCAAAAAGAAAAAGAAAAUAAAAAUGCAAAUCAAUUUUCUCUCUUCCUUCCCUAUGACUUAAAAAAAGAGAAGAAAUAUCAAAAUUUUCCCGGAAAAUUCACUCUCAUUUUCUCUCCAUCCAACCACAAUGGCUGCCGUUACUCCAGUAUCAUUCUCUGCGAUUUCCCAAUCUUCGAGCGACAGAAGGGCUUUCUGUACAGUAGCGCGUAAUUUAGGUUUUGAAGGCUUCCGGUUUCGAUCCAGUUUUUCGUGUCAUUAUGUCGGCGUUAGAGCUUCGAAUUCGACUUCCCGUAUGGUUAUCCAUUGCAUGUCCACUUCUACUGGUAGAAGAAAAAAUCUUUGUUGAUUUUUUUAGAUAUUCGUCUUUCUUUUUUGUGUCUGGUUGUUGAGAAAGUGAGAGAAAAUAGAAAUAAAAGUCUUAGAAAGUUAGUGUAAUUAAGAGGUUUAGGGUUUUAUUAUUUAAUUUUUUUAUUAUAGAAUGAUUUUUGCGAUUCCUUUUUUUUUGUUGAACUUUGUUGAGGAAUUAGUGUGAUUUAUUUAUUUUAUGAAUAAUUACAGUGAAAAUUUCUAUUUAGAUUUUGAAAAUAACUAAUUUUGCUAUUUGCUUAAUCACAAAAUUAAUGAUGAAGUAAGCUUUAGUAUUUUUUUCUUCAAAAAUUAAUGCUUCAUUUGGAACUAUUAAUAAAGUUUUUUUUUUUUUUUUUUUUAUGGAAAGGAAUAUCAUCGAGACAGUUUGUGCGUCAGUCAUUCAAGACUAAAACUUUUAUUAUAUUUUUUUAAGUAAUAAAGCUGAAGUUUAGCAUCUGAAUUUUGCAAUGCUGGCCGGUAGUACGGUAGAAUUUGAGGUCAUAGAUUUUUUUUUUUCGUAUUCAUUAUUUUGUUUAUCGUUUUAAUCGUGUAAAGUAGUGUGUGGAUUUGUUUGAUGAAUUGGGUUAAUUUUCAGAUGUGCCACCAACGGUAGCUGAUACCAAGUUGAAUUUCUUGAAGGCUUAUAAGAGACCGAUCCCGAGUAUCUAUAACACGGUUCUGCAGGAGUUGAUAGUGCAACAACAUUUAAUGAAGUAUAAGAAGACUUUCCGUUAUGAUCCUGUGUUUGGUCUUGGUUUUGUUACUGUGUAUGAUCAACUCAUGGAAGGGUACCCGAGUGACGAGGAUCGAGAGGCCAUUUUUCAGGCUUACAUUAAGGCAUUGGAGGAGGAUCCGGAGCAAUACAGGUUUGUCUUCUGAGUUUUUCUGUCUUUUUGCAGGAAAUCUUUUUGUUAUUUCAAUUUCGUGAUUUAUAUUUAGUUUUUGUAGAGGAAUUGAUGGAAGUAGCGGUUGUUAAUGCUUUAUGACAGUUUUUCUUUACCAAGUGAAUUGCAUCUGAAUCUGACAUUUGAUAUUGCGUUGCAUGAGGAAUAAGAAAGCAUCAGUUAUCAUUGAAUAUUGGUUUUUGUUCUGUAUACCAAAAAUCAUAACAAAAAAAAAUCUGUUUAUUUAGACUGAGAGACUAUAAUAAUUGCUGGAUGUUUGGAAGAAUAAUGUUUAGGUGGUUGUCAUUGAUGGUUAUGAAGAAAAAAAGAAGAAGAAAAACCCUUCUAUUCUAUGCACAAUUUACAAGUAGUUUUCCCAAGAAAAAUGCGUUAUCAUCAUUUUUACUUUUAUAUAUAGAUCAUUUGAGUUUCUUUGACUAAGUGAAACGAAAAGGAAAUAUUUGCAACCAUAAAGAUUGAUAAAUAGUAGAAACUGAAACAUUCGAAAAGCGUAUGUAGCCAGAUGCUCAGAAAAAUUGGAGAUUCUUAGUUCUGUUAAGAUUUUCAUAUAUUAGUGGUCAACUUUUUCUCCCUUUUUCCUUCAUUACCAUGCAUAACAAAAAAUUGAAAGAAUACAAUUGUUACUCCAUAUUUCUGCAAAAUUUGAACGGCGCAAUUAUUUUCAUUGGCGCUUGAUAGUUUCAUUGAACAGGUUCUAAAAAUGCCCUUUCUAUUUGACUUUAAUCACCAUUUGGGUUGAUUAAUUCUGUAUGUUAUGGCCUGCAGAAUAGAUGCAAAAAAGCUUGAAGAAUGGGCUCGGGCUCAGACUCCUAGUUCAUUAGUUGACUUUUCAUCCAGGGAAGGAGAAAUUGAGGGGACAUUAAAGGACAUUGCAGAAAGAGUUGCGAGUGGGAAUUUCAGCUACAGCCGUUUCUUUGCUGUUGGGUUAUUUCGCCUUCUUGAGCUGUCAAAUGCUAGUGAACCGACAGUAUUAGAAAAGGUAGGUUGUUGAAUUCCUUCUCUAUUGCAAUCUAUGUAAUGUAAAGAGUGCCUUACAAAGUUUUAAAAUCUUUUUUUCUAGUGAUUUUCAUUGUUUUGAAUGUGUUUUAGUUCAUCAAAUCCAGAAAAUUUUCUGUUCCUAAUAACCUGGUCCAUUUUACCCUCAAAUCCAAGACCAAGGAUUUUCCUCUAGAGUAUCUAGUUGUGGCAAGAACUUUGGAGAAGAUGGAUAUAUCUGAGAUUGCUAACUUAAGGUUAUUUUUUCCUUCCACGAGCUCAAGAACUCCAUACGCUUCCUUAGUGCAUAGAUACAACAACCAUGACAUCUCACUUAUGAAAGUGGAAGAAUACCUAUUUCUUCACAGGAGAUCUUCAAUCCUGUUCCAAUUCUCUUGGCAGAUGGACAAUUGUAUCCAAAAUUCAUAUCCUUCCAUCACUUGUCCAUUGGUAGCUUUUUUCUUCUUAUUUUUUUUAAUUGAAGAUUCAGUUCCUUGAACAAGAUAUGAUGUAUGCAGGAUUUCUAAUUCAAAGAGACCUCAAUGAAUUUUAAGUGUUUAAGAUUUCUAAUUUGGCUAACUUCAAGACCUCAAUGAUUACUUUAUGUAUCAAAGAUUUUUGCUCGAUAGUUUGACAUUUCUCUUUAAUUUUCAUGCAAAAGCUUUGUUCAGCACUAAACAUCAAUAAAAGAAGUGUGGAUCGGGACCUUGAUGUAUACCGGGGCCUUCUUUCUAAAUUGGUUCAAGCAAGAGAGUUGCUGAAGGAGUAUGUAGAUAGGUAAAGAUCUAUCUCCCGGAUAGAUUUUGGCGUUCUGCUUUUGUUUUUUUUGUCUGUUCCAUCACGCGUGUGAUGUAUUUUUCUAAAAUGAUUUUGAAUUUCAGGGAAAAGAAGAAACAAGAGGAACGUGCAGAAUCACAGAAGGCUAGUGAGACUGUAACAAAAUGUUUGGGAGAGCCUCAAUUUGUAGGACAGUAGUUCAAUCAGCACAGCAGCUCUCACCUCACAGAUCAAAUUAUAUGAGGCUCCACUAUCGUCACUCCUCUCUCUUUUAAGGUACACUUGAAAGACUUCACUGUUUCAGCAAACCAUAUGACAUCUUAUGGAUUUGCAUUCUUAAGUCUGCUGUUUUGGAUUUGGUGAUCAAGAUACGUUUCCCCUUUGUUUCCCAUGUUUAUAUACUUGUUUCUUCUAUUUCAAACAAUUUUAUUUUUUAUUUUUUGUACCACAAAUGUUUCCUGCUAUUAAAUACUCCGUUGCAAAUAUAUCUGUGUGCAUCACCAUAUUGUCUUUGGAUUGCUGUUCAUCUAUUAAACUUCCCUUUUGCAUUAAAAGGGGGAAAAAUCCACCAUUUCUUGGAGAUUGAUGCCAUCAUCAACUGUUUGAGUAAUGUUACAAGAACAAAUUAUUCAAAAUUUUUAUUUAAACACAUAUAGCUUAUUAUUUUAGAGACUCACCAAAGAUGGUAUGGGAUAUUAAUUUGUUCCACUGGUGAUUAAAACACAAUACAGGAACAAAACGAUAACUAUGCAUUAGUCUGAACUGCAUCUGUUAGCUGCCAGUAGGCACCCUCUUAAAAUGAGAGUUAUCUGGAAAUAAGAUGUACUGAUUGUGAAUCAUUUUCCAAGUUUGAUUUGCUAAAAUGUUUUCAAGGUACUGCAAUGGAAAGUAAACUCUUACUGUUAUUAUUUAUUAAUCGGUGAAAGAUUUUUUGGUUGCAAUUACAAAUUUGCACAUACAAUUGGAACUCAAUUCACGGGUUAAUUUGAAAUCGGAAAAUCAGAUAAACUUUGGUUUGAUUCUUAACAAGCCGGCCGAGAAUUGACCUAAUUAGAUGAGACUGAAUUAAACGUGAUGAGAUACAAGAUGAACAUGGAAUCAUGACCCAAUUUUAACUGUAAUUGCCUAAUUGGGAUGUUGAUUCAAAGUAUCAGCUGCAGCAAAUAGUCUCCGCUCCACUCCAAUGUACAAAAACUUUCUCAUUAAUAACUUUGUCCUUUCUGUCAAUUAUGAUGAUUUAGAGGGUGUUUAGGAUUGAUAGUCCUAGAUUUCAACCUGUAUGGGAGCGGUUUAUCAUGUAUUUUAGAAAAAAAUAAAUUUUUAUAAUUUUAAAUUAUUUUUUAAAUAUAUUUUUAUUGUAUUAAUAUAUUGAUAUGAAAGAUAAAUUUUUUAAAAAUAUUAUUUUAAAAUAUUUUCAAAUAAUAAAAAGCAAUAUGUUCUUUCCUUCCAAACAUUUCUUAUGAGUUGAAACGCAACCUUUAUGGCCACAAUCUUGAUCAAAAUCCAUAAAGGAAAAACAUAAAAAUUUUAAAUUUUAUUCAAACCACACCAUUUAAAAAACAAGAUGGUGGGAUUUGAAUUGGGAUUUGUGGGUAAACCGUAAAAAUUGAAUCGAUGCAUCAGUCCUCUCAUUAAAAUAGUAUUUUAAACAAAAAGGACAUCAAUCAUUACUGGCGGCUAGUAUGAGCAACCAUUUCAGAGACAAAAUAAUGAGAUCAAAUGAAUUAAAGAGUAUCAAAUUUGAAUGCAAUUCCAAUUUGUCUACCAAUUUAAGUUUUAUAUUUUAUUUUAAAGUGAAAACAUUGGAAGUGAUGAUCACUCAAAUCCAUGAGAAUCCUACCAAACCAUGAUAAUACUGCUGGCCAAAAGUCACGAUAGUUAGUUCACACAUGAUCAUAUUUAUUGCAUCAAGCAUGUUGUCCUAUAUAUCUAAAUUUUGUUUUUCUUACUUACAUUCUUUUUUUUUUUCGCUUCCGUCUACCUUACUAUCCAUCAUAAUAUUUUUUUUUAAUCUUAUUGUAUUGUUUUAAAUCUGAUUAUAAGAGAAGAAACAUAUUUUAUUAUUUAAUAAUAUGUAUUUUCUUUAUAUGUUCUUUAACUUAUAAAUAUUUAAAAAAAAAACUAAAAGAGACUAGUGUUUCACGAUAUAGAGUAGACUCAUUGCACUAUAGAUUGAAACAAUACAAUGAUGAUUUUUUCCUUCACAGCAAAAACCAAUGAAUUGGGAUUUGUGGAAAAAAUAGUCUUUUCACGAUAUUCAUUUGUCAUUAUAAAUUGAUCGAAGUUAAAAUGAUCACUUCACAUUUUUAAUGCAUAAUAAAAUGAUUAACUUAUCCUUAAAAACAAAAUUUAUUUAACUUGGAUUUAUGGGCUUUUUUAGAUAUUUAUUUUUUAAAGUAUUGCAAAAUGACUAAAUUAAUAAUCACCUUGACUUAGAGGCAAUUUGAUAUUUUAAUAAAUAUAAAAUAUUAUUUAAAAGACAAAACACAUUGACACGUGCAAUGCAUGCACCAUUAUGUAGGGGAUGUCUAGUGGCAAGACCGUGGCUUCCAAGGCAGUGUUAGAAUAGUCUCAACGGCGCUUCCAUCCCUAGGCAGUGCGUAUGGGCAACGAACCUCCAGUUUGGUGCUAGUGCUCUUUUCAUAGUUUUUUUUUUAUGUUUUUCUUCUUGAUUUCUAUGCCUGACCUUUAAAAUUUUCAAAAUAAUUUAUUUAUUUUCAUAUUUGGUUCAUGUUCUUUUAAUUACUAUUUGUUUUAUUUGAAAUAAUUAAUAAAAUUGAUUUUUUUUUAAUAUCACCCCCUUUUAAUUUUUUUUCAUUUGUCAAAUUUGAUCCUAAUUUUUUUAUUGCAAUUUGAUUUAAUUGAGAUAACUUUUAAAAUUGAUUUUUUUUUAUGAUUUCACCUUCCUUCAGUUUCGUUUUCCUAUUAGAUUUGAUUUUCAUGCUUUUGAUUACUAUUUUUUUAUUUUGUCAAAUUUUUAAAUUGUUUUCUUUUUCAAUUUCAUCCUUCAACAUUAAAUUGGUUGGAAAUCAAGCUUCUUGGUUAAGUCUGCGUCUAAGAUUUCACUGGUUACGAGUUUGGGAGAUUAACCCAGGUUUAGAAGUUUCGCCCAGGUUUGCUUGUUUUAUUUUUCCCUUUUUUUAAGCUCGUGUUUUUUUUAGUUUUAUCAUUCAACAUUUAUUUAAUAGAGAUUGUACUCUAUUAUUUUUUAUAAAUUUUCUUUCUCUAGGAUUUUUAACUAAUUUUAAAAAUAACCCGAGUUAUCUUGAGUCAUUUUAUUUCUUGUUUUUUUGUUAAAUUUAGAUUUUUCACAAGAAAUUUUCAUUUUAAAUUAAAUUAAAUUUAUUAAUUAAAUAUAAGAAUUAAAUGUUCAUUUCAUGAUAUUUUAUUUAAUUUGCUUUCCUAGUUGUUGAUUUGACAGUGAGUACGAUGUCUUUUGGUAUCAUCGUGCAACCUUUCGUGGUGACAUUUGAACCAUUUCAGUGAACUCUUCCUAAUGCUAAGAUAGUGUUCACGAUAAUGAUUCUCCAACUAGAUUUUCUUUGUUCUUCUUCAAAAUAUGAUAUUGAUAAUUUAUUUUUUAUAGUUAAUUAUUAUCUUCUUUUCACUUUAUUUAUUGUCGAUAUUUUUUUUAAUCAUACUAUUAUAUUAACUGAGAUUAUUAACUCAAUCAAGUCAAUGAUCCUAUCUUGAAUUUUUCUUGCUUCUAUAAAAACAUUAAUGAUGCCUAAAUAUAAUUUUUUAUAUUAUAAAAAAUUUUACCCCAUCCAUGAGAUAAUGUGAAUCAACUAUCUAUUAUAUAUACAUAGCAACACCAAAUCAACUUUUUUGCAAGUUUUUUCAAAGGAGUUCACGAGGAAUUCAUUUUUUUCAUUGGGCUUCAUCCCGGGAUUAUAAAUUUGGGAUCAUACCACGAUGAUCAACUUAGAGACAAGGUUAUGGUCACAUCUACGAGAGGCCAAACCCACAUUGAGAGGCUGAAAGAUCUGGUCUCCAUUCAAUGCGUGAAAAAUUAUCCAGGGCAAGUGCAUGUAUCGACAUUUUUGGAAGCAUGUGCCUUUAAUUAUAUGGGUUCCUUUUAUCAAGUCACAAGAAAGUGUGGCAAGUCAUUUAUUUGAUAAUGGCAAGAUUAAUAACUAAGUUUCUGUGGCAGAUUGUAGACACCGUCUUGAAGUUAAAAUACAGGCAAGAAAUCAAACCUCGAUUUAUGCUAUGCACCAGAAAAGAAGAGUGAGUUCCUAGGAGAAAAUGGGAUCAUCAUGGCAGCUAAAGCAAUUGGUAAGAAGGUCAAGGAAUUGGCAGAGAAAUGGUUAUCAAAUUGGAAAGAAUAUCUGAACAAGGCAGGCUAGAAAUCAAACCUCGAUUGCCAUUCUUGAUUAAUCUUAAAAAUUAAAUUUUGAUCAAAAUUCAUAAAGAAAAAACAGAAUAAUUUUAAAUUUUAUGUUAAGAAAAUGAAUUGAUGCAUUAGUCCUCUCAUUAAAAUAAUUUCUUAAACAAAAGGGAAAACAAUUAUUAAGAUCUCAUGUCUAACCAUAUCAAACACCAAAACAAGAGACAAUAUAAUUUGAUCAAAUGAAUUUAAGAGUUUCCAAUUCCAGUACAAAUAUGAUGCAAAAGGAUACUAAGAUUUGUUACAAUUUUUAAAUAAAAAUAAUACCAUAAUUAUAAAUAAGACUCUAGAAAUAUUUAAUUUUAUGCAUUGUAUCCUUGCGAAAAUACUAUUACAUCUCUUUAUAUAUAUAAAAAAAAAAACUAGAAAGCACUAAUAAUAUUGAAUAAAAAAAGAAGUAAAACUAUUCCUUUAAAGUAGAAUAAAACUAGAAAAACAUAAUAAAAAAAUAAUAAAUAAUAAAAUUAACAAAAAAUUUUUUUAUUUUUUUCAAAAAGCAUUUGCAUCUGUCUCCUCGAAUCGAAAAAAACAAAUCCUCAAGUUUAGAUUUUAGUCAGGAACCAUCCCCCACCACAAACAACUUCUUAUGUGUAGACCACCACACCAUAGGUUCCUAACACCUUUGCAUGAGCUUUCCUAUUAUGGAUUUCUGGCACAAUACUUUUUUGUGUAUCGCUUUAUCCUAGAUCGUUAACACACCAUUUUUAUGCGGGCCACCACAUCAAGAAUCUCAUCACCAUGAUUUCCAAUAACAACAACUACUGUUAACAAAAACAACACAUUAGCUCCUAAAUUUAUUUUUCUUGAAGGAGAUCUUCUCAUUCAUUUAUUCAUCAUCACACGACAACCAACCAUUAGAAAUUGUUAGACUUCGAUACCAAAUGAUGUGUAUAAAAACAACAUAAUAAACAACACAAAAUUUUGCCUAAUAUUAAGGUCAUUGUAUAAAAAUUCAAAUUUAAAAUUUUAUUACUAAAUAUUUCUUUUCAAGUGGUCCCUAAAAUACAAGCCAAAUAAAAAUAUUAUACUAGUUCUAGUUUUACCUUAAUGAGGAAAAAAAAAUACUAAUAAAUAACUAUAGAGUUAUUAUAGGAUUCCCUAAAUAGAAAAAAAAAUUUAUUAAGCAUAAUAUUUAAUUCUCUAAACUAAUAGAAAAAAACAAAAAAAAAAUUUCCUAAAAUUUAAACAGUCUCCUCGUGUUGGAAAGAACUCAUCAUCUAGUUCAAUGUAUUCUUUCCUUGAUCUCUUGGAUGUCCAAUUGAAGUUCUCCAACCCUUUUUUUUCUUUACUUUAUGUGUAUAACAAUUUUAAAUAUCAACUCCAGUUUUUUAUAUAAAAAUUGCAUUAUAAAAAAAAUUGGCAAAUUAUUUCUCUUCCAUUGGAUUUUAAAAUAAUGAAAUGUAAACAUCAAACUUACUUCAUCAACAUGUAUUCUAUUCAUAUAACCCUUGAACAAUUAUACAUUUCUGAUAAUCUUAAGCUUGUAGUCAAAAUAAUCAGCAUAAUCCAAAUUAACUUUUUUUUAUUAAGCAUAUUUCAUAUUCUCUCAGUACUCAACAUUUAACUUAUUAAUAAGGUUACUAUUAAUGAUAUCAUUAUUGCUAUUAUUGUCAUUAUUUAUACUAUUAUUAUUAGAAUAAUUAUCAUCAAAAUAAACAUCAUAAAUUGGUGUAAAAUAUCAAUCAACAUCUAUCUCGUCAUAAAUGAGAUCUUCAUCAUGAUAAUGAGGUUGUCUUUUCUACUCUCGUCUUUUAAAUGGAUUUUCAAAGUUGGUCAUGAAUAUGUGAUCAUUGUCCUCAUGAUUUUCCAGGGUUCUCACCUCCACCAAUUGACAAAUCAAUUAUAUAAUAUGUCUCCAAUUGUUUUCUAUUACUAAUUCCUAAACAUCUCUUUUCCAAGUGUAAUCUCCUCAUCCCUCAUCACAUGAUCACGUUAUAUUAUAUGAUCUCUUAGUCAUAGUUAUUCAACAACUAAUCAACAAUAAUUAUUGGAUUUUGAUACCAACUAAUGCAAAUAGAAGCGAAAAAUAAUGAAAUUUGUUACAAGUCAAAACUCUCAAAGAUAAAAAAUACCAUAAUUAUAGAUAAACUCUCAAAAUACUUAAUUUUAUUUAUUCAUAUUGUCUCACUUAUCAAAAUGCUAUUUUAACCUUUUAUAUAGAGAAAACUAAAAACAAACCCUAGUAAUAUUGAAUAUGAAAAAUAAAAUAGAAAAACUAUUCUCUUUUCUUCAAGUAGAAAAAAAAAACUAGAAAAAGGUAAUAAUAAAAAAUAAAAAUAAAAAAACUUCUUAAUAAAAAUAUUUAUUUUCUAAAGCAACUCAUGCAUAAAAUUUCAAUUUGUCUACCUUAUUAAAUUUUUUAUUUUAGUUUUCAAGUAAUUACCACAUUAUGAGGGAUGAUCAUAGCUCGAAUACUUGAUAACCUACCAAACCAUGAAUCGUUGAACUGUUGGCCAGAAAACACGAUAGUUGGUCCACGCAUAGGAAUGAUUAUUUGCAUGAAACAUCUUAGUUUAUUUUAUUCUAAGAUAAUAGAUAUGUGCGUUAUUAUAACCUCUUUAACUUAUAAAUAUAUAUAACAAUAUACCAAAUCAGCUUUGCAACUCAAACUCACCAUGACGAAUUCAAUUAUACAAAUGAAUUUCUCCUCAUCAAUACCUUAUCUCUUUCCCCUCUUCACAACUAUGAGGGCUACUGUUUUGCCUUAACAGUGUUACUAAUGGAGGGAUCAUAUUAAGCAAAUUAGUAUGUUAGAGGGACUCAAUCAACUCUUAAAUUAUCACAGGGACUUGAACAACUAACUGGUUAUAUUACAAGGAUGGCACUGAUUAUUAACCCAAUUUCACUCUUAUAUAUAGUAACUCCCUCAUCGUGUUAUCUUACAAGCGUCAUCUUCACAAAAUAUGGCUCAAUCUCAUUCUGUAAAAGUCAUCGAUCGUGUCCAAGUCUCGCCACCACCAGGCUCAGUACCCACCACCUCUCUCCCUCUCACUUUCUUCGACUUUCCAUGGCAUCUUUGCCCUCCCAUGGAACGCCUUUUCUUCUAUGAACUUCCUUACCCUACUCUUUACUUCAUGCACAAAAUCUUGCCUAGCCUUAAAAACUCUCUUUCCCUUGCUCUUCAACACUUUUUCCCUCUUGCCUCCAAUCUUAUGUGCCCACUAUCACCUCAUAAACCCUAUAUCCUCUUCAAUGAUGGGGACUCAAUCCCAUUCACAAUUGUUGAGUCAACGAUGGAUUUUGACCAAAUAAUCGGAGACCAGGCUGGAGAUGUGACAGGACUGCACGCUUUUGUCCCUAAGUGGCCUCCCACACGCGUGACAUCAGAUGGCAAACGUGUGGUGCCACUUCUUGCCUUGCAAGUAGUUGUGUUUCCAAAUUCAGGUAUUUGCAUUGGUACCAAAUUUUGCCAUGUGGUAGCUGAUGGGAUGGCUUUUAACCAUUUCAUGAAAUCUUGGGCGUCCAUUUUUAGGUCCAGAAAAAACAUGGCUUGCCUUGAAAAGUCAAUGCUGCCGUCUCAUGACAGGUCGGGGAUCAAAGACCCAUUCGAGCUUGAUUCCAUUUUUUCAAAGGAGUGGUGGAGUUGGGCUUCAUCUCGGGAUUAUAAUUUGGCAUCAAACCACGAUGAUCAACUUAGAGACAAGGUUAGGGUCACGUUUACGAUAGGCCAAACCCACAUUGAGAGGCUGAAAGAUCUGGUCUCCAUUCAAUGCUUGAAAAACUAUCAAGGGCAAGUGCAUGUAUCAACGUUUGUGGUAGCAUGUGCCUUUAUAUGGGUUAAUAUGAUCAAGUCACAAGAGAAGGAGGCAAGUGAUUUAUUUGAUAAUGACAAGGUUUACUACUUCGUUUUUGUGGCAGAUUGUAGACACCGUCUUGAAGUUAAACUACCAGCAACAUAUUUUGGAAACUGUCUAGCAAUAUGUUAUGUUCCUGCAAAAAAGAGUGAGUUACUUGGAGAAAAUGGGAUCAUCAUGGCAGCUAGAGCAAUUGGUAAGAAGGUCAAGGAAUUGGAGAGUGGGGUUUUGGUGGGCGCAGAGAAAUGGAUAUCAAACUGGAAAGAAGUGUCUGAACAAGGCAGGCUAGUUACUGUUGCUGGGUCACCUAAGUUGCGUGCUUACGAGACAGAUUUUGGGUGGGGGAGGCCGAAAAAGACUGAGGUUCUCCAUAUAUAUGCUUCAGGUGGUUUCCAUCUUUGUGAAUGUAGAGAUGGGGGAGGUGGGCUUGAGAUUGGCUUGGCACUUCCUCAGGGUCAAAUGGAUGUCUUCUGUGGCAUCUUUGAACAAGGUAAGCGGAAUCUGGUUUGAGUGUGGCUUGUUGUCUACUUAAGAAAUUCGCAAUACACGGUACUUUAUGUUAAGGAAAUAAAGAGCAAAGCCAAGAAACGAAUAAAUUUAUAUUUGUUUACCACUUGUUCUUAAUAUAUAUAUAUAUAUAUAUAUAUAUAUAUAUAUAUAUAUAUAUAUAUAUAUAUAUAUAUAUAUAUAUAUAUUUUUUGUUAAAGUAAAUCAUAAGAUAUUAUUUAACUGUUUAAAUUAUUAAAUUAAAAUAAUUCUUUAACAUAAAAUUAAAGCCUUAAAAUCAAGUGGUCACAAGACCUUGUGUAUUCUAUAUAAUUCAAUACAAAGCUAUGCAUUAUGCAAGGCAGUUUUUCAAAUAUUUAAUUUUCUUUUCAAUGCUCACCAAAUAGGUAAUGAUCUCCUUAAAUCUCUUGCAUUUUAUUUCUUUGGACAUGUGAAGGACCGAAUAGCUUAACGUUGAAUAAUGUUUUCUGGCUUAAUUUUGGUUAAAUUUUUUGCAAGACGAUAUAUACCAUAAACAGAUGAAAAUAAACCAAAACGAUAAGAGGGACUAGACAAAGACCGUACCAUGUAUGAUCUGAAACAUAAAUUUCUUCGUUUGCUCUGUACGUCCAUGGUGCUUGUCUUCAGAAUUCUUAUUUACUUUGGUUGUAUUGGGUAGAAGAGAGUUGCCCAUUUAAUAUUGAGCAAAGGUGGCAAAUAAAUAGUAUCUUGUAUAGACAAAAGAUGCUUUCCUCGGAGAGAAGAGAUGUAUUGUGUCCUUUUUUUUUUUUUUUAAUGUGGUGUCCGAUCCGGGUUAGUGCACCUUAACUAAUUUCACAGGUUUUGAAGUUAACGACCAUCUAAGUUUUCAGUAGUUCUGAGAUUUGUGUGACUCAAAAUGGUAAUCUUCGGAGAACAAACUCAGAACCUGAUCAAUUGAGUUACGCCUUUCAAAAUUAUUAAUGUAUUGUAUCUUUAAAUAUACGCUAGGUGUGGGUUUAGAGAGACAAAAAAAAAAUAGUUCUUAGAGCAAUAAAACCUUGCUUUCUAGGCCAAUUUAUAGAAGCGGAUUUAAUUUUAUAUGAAUAAUGAAGGUCAUGAACUUAUUUAAAUAUUUGGAGUUCAGCUUAAUUUGAAAGAAAUUUUAAAAAAUAAAAAGCUUAUAAUUUCCACAACUCAAUCUUUCUUGAAGUUUUCUUCUUUUCUUUUAUUCAAAGCAGAAAUUACAGAACGUUUUCAGCUGUGUGCACGUACAGCCAGGAAAUUCAAAGCAAUUCAAAUCCAUUCUUGCACGGAGAAAUUUCCUUGAUCAUCUCAUUCAUCAAAACUUUAUAAUUUUUUCCGUGCUCUUUAUAAUUAUUUUUUUGGACGCAUAGAAAAUUCAGAAGAUUGCUAAGCUUGUUAGGAUAAUUUGGACCAAAGAAUGGAAAGAACGAAUUGCUGCUGCGGGCUGUGGAAAGUUUGUGUUUGAUAUUAUAAUUCAGAAAACUUUUUGAAAAUAUUUUUUAUUUAAAAUGUAUUAAAAUAAAUUUUUUAAUGUUUUUACUUGAAGGCAUUAAAAAUAUUAAAAAUAAAAAUCAGAAAAUAAUUAAUAAGCCAUCAAACUACUAUUAGUCAUCAACAGUUGAAUAAAUGAACCUUGUCAUGGGAUGAAAUAAUUAACUAAUGAUAAUGUAUUGAAAUGAAGCUAAAGGACAUCUGUUAAGCAACUAUGAGGGCUCCUGUUUUUCCUUGACGGUUUUAACAAUGGAGGGACUAUAUUAAGCAAAUUAGUAUAGUAUAGGGACUCAAUCAACUAUGAAAUUAGUAGAGCGACUAGAUUGUAAGAGGCUAUGUUAGAAGGAUGUCACUCCAUCGUCAGUAUCUCAUCUCUUUCCUCUUCGCAAACAAUGGCUCAUUCUCAUCCUGUAAAACUCAUUGAUCAUUUCCGAGUCUCUCCACCACUAGGCUCAGCACCCACCACCUCUCUACCUCUCACUUUCUUCGACUUUCCAUGGCUUCUUUGCCGUCCCAUGGAACGCCUUUUCUUCUAUGAAUUCCCUUACCCUACUCUUUACUUGACGAACAACAUCCUUCCUAUUCUUAAAAACUCUCUUUCCCUUACUCUUCAACACUUUUUCCCUCUUGCCUCCAAUCUUAUGUGCCCACCAUCACCCCAUAAACCCUAUAUCCUCUUCAAAGAUGGUGACUCGAUCCCGUUCACUGUUGUUGAGUCAAUGCUGGAUUUUGACCAAGUCAUCGGAGACCAUGCCAGAGUCGAUCUUAGAGAACUGCAAUGUUUUGUCCCCAAGUGGCCUCCCACACGUGUGACAUCAGAUGACACACGUGUAGUGCCACUUCUUGCCUUGCAAGUAGCUGUGUUUCCGAAUUCAGGUAUCUGCAUCGGUGCCAAAUUUUGCCACGUGGUAGCUGAUGGGAUGGCUUUUAGCCAUUUCAUGAAAUCCUGGGCGUCCAUUUUUAGGUCCAGAGAAGACAGCGCUUGCCUUGAAAAGUCAAUACCGCCGUCUCAUGACAGGUCAGGGAUCAAAGACCCAUUCGAGCUUGAGUCAAUUUUUACAAAGGACUGGUGGAAUUGGGCUUCAUCUUGGGAUUACGAUUUGGGAUCAACCCCUGAUGAUCAACUUAGAGACAAGGUUGGCGUCACAUUUACGAUAGGCCAAACCCACAUUGAGAGGCUGAAAGAUCUGGUGUCCAUUCAAUGCAUGGAAAAUUAUCCAGGGCAAGUGCAUGUAUCAACAUUUGUGGUAGCAUGUGCCUUUACAUGGGUUAAUUUGAUCAAGUCACAAGAGAAGGAGGCAAGUGAUUUACUUGAUAAUGACAAGGUUUACUACUUCGUUUUUGUGGCAGAUUGUAGACACCGUCCUGAAGUUAAACUACCAGCAACAUAUUUUGGAAACUGUCUAGCAAUAUGUUAUGUUCCUGCAAAGAAGAUUGAGUUACUUGGAGAAAAUGGGAUCAUCAUGGCAGCUAGAGAAAUUGGUAAGAAGGUCAAGGAAUUGGAGAGUGGGGUUUUUGUGGGGGCUGAGAAAUGGAUAUCAAAGUGGAAAGAAGUGUCUGAACAAGGCAGGCUGGUUACUGUUGCUGGGUCACCUAAGUUGCGUGCUUACGAGACAGAUUUUGGGUGGGGGAGGCCGAAAAAGACUGAGGUUCCCCAUAUUUAUGCUUCAGGCAGUUUCCAUCUUUGUGAAUGUAGAGAUGGGGGAGGAGGAGUUGAGAUUGGCUUGGCGCUUCCUCAGGGUCAAAUGGAUGUCUUCUCUGGCAUCUUUGAACAAGGUAAGCAGAAUCUGAUUUGAGAAUGGCUUGUUGUCUCUCCUUGUGAAAUUCGCAAUGCACGGUGCUUUAUGCUAAGAAACUAAAGAGCGAAAACAAGAAAUGAAUAAAUUUAUUUUUGUUGACCUCGUGUGUGUGUUCGUCUCUUUAUAUGGGUUAUUGGUCACUGGCUUGUUGCAGUUGAGAUUAAUUAGCAUAUCUUUUAAUAUUAUUUUUAAUCAUAAACUUAAAAUGUGGUGUGUGUGUGUGUGUGUGGUGCUAAUAAAAUAUAUUGAUUUUAACCUAUUAAAAAAAAAAUAAAAAAAUUAUCCGAGUUUAAGUUAAAUUACUAAUUUAACUUAAUUUUUAAUAAAUUCAAUAUUAAAAAAUAAAAUAAAAAAAAUUAAUUAAAAAAAAUAACAAAAAAAUAAUUUGAAUAAACCUGAGUUAAUUUGUUAAAUCCUCAAUUUAGAUAAUAAGAUCAUGAUAAUUUAUAAAAUAAUAAAUAAAAAAUUUAUAAAACAUCAUUUUAACAAAUCUAAUGUUGAACAUUGAGUUUGAGAGAGAGAAUUUUUUUUUAUAAAACUAGUAUAUAAACCAGCAAAAAAAAUUGAUAAAAAUUAUAUAGCAUAAUUUUAAAAAAAAUUUAUUGUUGAAUGAUGAAAUUAAAUAAAAAAAAUACAAAAUACUAUUUCAAUUAAUAAUAUAAAUAUAUUUAUGGUGUGGCUACUAUCUUUUAAUAUUUUUAUUAAAUAUAUGAUCAUGUGUGUUGUCAUUGGAAACUUUUAGUUAAUAUUAUUAAACUUAAUCAAGUCCAGUGAAUUAUCAUGGUGACUUGUCAACUUGUUCGAGCUUCUAACCAAACUUUGUGAGAGCUGAUUAAGGGUCAAAAGACAUGGUGAGUGAACUUUAAAAGCGAUUGAGUUAGUAAAAAAUUUAUUUGAAUUUUUUUAAAAAAAUAUUAUUUUAAAAACAAUAUUAAUUUAAUAUUUUUAUUUAAAAAUAUUAAAACAACAAUGAUUUUUAUUAACUUGGUCGAACCAGGCAAAACUGCCGAACCGAACUUGGCUGUGUCAUUACUUGUUUCUAGGCAUGACAAUAUGUUUUCUCUCCUCGGUGGGUUUGAUUGGGCUGCACUUAGGACUAAUUAUUCCAUUUUGUCUAUUUCUUUUCUCUUCCCUUCUUCUCUCCCGGGUAAUGCCUUCAGUAGGCUCAUUUAAGAUGAAAUUCGUAAUUGAAUUCAAGAGUUAAUGGAGAAUCAGGGACCAAAUUAAAAGAGAAGGGCUUGAUUGGGGUGAAAUUCAGGAUUGAAUUGAAGAGUUAGUAGAGAAUUUAGGACCAAAUUGAAAGAAAAUGAAAAACAAAUCUAGCGUGUGUACCACACGCACCAACAUUUGAGGAAGCAUGUCGCAUUGGAUAGGCACGUGCAGCUUCUUUCAAGCACCGAUGAAAGCACUUUUUGAUGUUGUUAGAAUUAUCUGAAAAAAGGUUUCCUUUAAAGGUGGUGUUGAAGACGAUGUACUAUUGGUGUGUCUUUCCAUUACCUAUUUAUUUUUCUUUUCUUUUCUUGCCUUGAUUUAUGUGCUUGAAUUCGAAAAGAAAUGUAUUUGUUUCCUUAAUUUUAAUUUAGGCCUUUUAUUUUCAAUGAUUUGUAAAAUAAAAAAUCCAAAUUAUUUUUCACAAAAUCAAGCGUAAAUUCAACAUCAAGAUGUUCUUCCAACAUUAUGAGACCCAUAAUAAGCUAAUUGAAUCAAACUGUAAAGUUAACAUUAUGAGCUAAGUUGUGGUUUUUUUUUUCUUUUGGUUUUUUAUCAUUUGAAUAUAUUUUUUAAUUUUAUUGGGUUUUUAUUAAAGUUUUUUUUUUAAUUUUUUUUUUCAAUUCUAUCCUUCAACAUUUAGUUGAUUUUUAAUUAGUUUUCAUUUUGUUUCAAUUUAUUUUCUAUAAAAUUAUCAUGGUCUCAAAUAAACAUCCCGACAUUAGAUUUGUGUCUAAGCAUUUAUUUUUAUUAUCAUAUAAUUAAGUAAAAAAAUAAAAAAAAAUAUUAAAUUCAGUGAAAUCCAUGACCCAUGUCGCAACUUUGUUGGGUAAAAUAUGAUCCAUGAGUCGAUCUAAUAUAUCAUUAUCUUGAUAUUUUUUUAAGAAAAAAAUAUUAUAUUGAAUUUUUUUUAAAGCUAAACUAUAUUUUUACUGAUUUAUCAUAUAUUUUUUUGGACUCGCCGAAUUGAAUGAAUCAUGUCAAAAUAAUUUCUAUACAAUUUAACUUAAAGCACGAGUUAGAUAAAAAAAUCAUCUCAAUACAUAUCAAUAUUAACAUGUUAGGUCGAGUCUAAUGAAAUUAUUAGAGAAUUUCCUAUAACUGGAAUAUUUUUAUCCAUUAAAAAAGUUUAGUCCAACGAUCCAGGGGGGCUAGUUUUCUAAGGGCAAGGAAAACAAUUGUUAACAAAGUUAAGGAAUUGAAAGAGUAUGGUUGUUUUUUUUUUUUAGGGGGGGGGGGGGGGGGUGAUGUCAAAUUGGAAGAGAUUGGGAUUAAAAAAAUAAUAAUGAAAAAAUGAACAUAAAAUAAAGAAUAAUUUCAAAUAUAAGGAUAGAUUGAGAGAAAUCAAAUAUGUUAAGACACAUUGAAAGGUUAACAUAAAAUAUAUAAAACAAUUGAGCUAAUUAUCCUGAAUGCAUUUGUUAUAAAGAUUAACAUAAACUAUAUAAACAAAACUAAAUAUUUGUUAAAGCUUGAUUUUACCUUGGUUUUUUUAUUUUAUUUUGUUGAAUAAAGUUUAUGGGUCUCAAAUCUCAAUUAGCUUUAGUUUAUCCUGAUUGGGUUAUCAUCAGAUUAUAUGUAAUUUAAAACUAUUAUGUUAAAGUGGGCUCCCAUAAAUAAAAAUGGCUCCACAGAACCCAUUCAUUAGGCUCAAACUGAAACCAACACGGGCUAACCUGGGUGCUUGAGUGUUGAAAGAUCUGCUGGUAAAUUGGACUUGAUCUAUGUAGUAAUACGAGGCCCAUGUUAUUUUAAUUGUUUCUCUCUUGCCUAAAAUCAUCUGCCUCACUCAGCAAAACUCAUGGAACGCACAAGACCUCUUUUAUCCUUUAAAAAAAGAAAACUUCACCCAUAUUCCAUGCAGAACAGACAUGCCCAGAAGUUCUAUUACAUCACCAUAUCAACAUCCAUUUUGGUGGCCAGAAACACAAAUGGAUCGUCCAUCACCCCCACCAAAAAAAUCAUCUACGUGUGAUUUUGAUAUUCACGAGACAAAUCUCUGCCACAAGCCUAGACCACGUGCCCUAGCUCAUGUUCUUAUAACCCAACAACGGACAGGAUCAAAAACAAGUUUAUCUUCUUAGAUCAUGCCAUAAAUUCUUUAUACAUUAGAGAAUUUAGAGCUGAAAAUUCUGUUGAUGUACACAAUAGUUUCUAUCAACUACGUAGUAUAAAAUAUGUGCAUGAAGUACAUAGAAUAAUAGUGUCUCAUACUUUGCAAACCUCUAUUUUUUAUAUGCAUGCAUGUGAACAGAUAAAAUUU